ACAACAUCGGAAGCUGAAAGCCUGUAAUUACUUCAUUUGGAAAGCAAACCUGAGGAGAAGGUAAGGUGUUCUUAUACCUUGCUUCUCCCUUAUGUGUCCCUUACAGGCAGGGGGCUCUAUAAAUUGCACACAGCUUGCCCAAGGCAUCUUGGCUGAACAGGGAACUCAGGAACACCCUGCUCUGGGGUCUUUGCACUGGCUGGGAGUCCAGAGGUCAGACUCCUUGGGGAUAAACACAGCCACUGAUAUCUCUCUGGAACACUGUGAAGCAGCUUCUGUCCCCUUCCAAGUCUUUAGCAGCAAUGUCUCUGUAUCUUACUUCCAACCACCAUCAUCUGGCACCUCUCCCUCCCCACUGCUGUGACUCCCUUAUGAACUCUAGCCCCUAGAAAUGAAAGUCAUGGAGGACAUUGUCUGUGAAGACCUUCUGCUUUCCUCAAUAUGGCCUUCCCCUUGAUAGGGAAGCCCAAAUGCCUUACUCAUUGCUGGGAAAUGGCUAGAGAAAAAUAGUUUAAUAAUUCCAUAAAUUUUCCUAUGACACAAGUAUCUCCUUAUCUUUUGGAAGUCAACCAUUCCACAGCAGAAAAUAAUUGGCUCCCAUUUACUCAGGAAAAUUCCAUCUGCUCCUGUGAAUUUUUCAUAGUAAUGGCCUCUUGGAAACAAGACCUAGAAUGCUGGGGUGACCAGUGAAUGCUUCAAGAAUUCAUUUUAGAAACUUUAUUGUUAGUACAGAAACCAGCCCUUCACCUUGCUUUUAAAAAGGUUGAAAAUUUGGAAUUUUGAUGAAGAAAUAUUUGAACUGGGUCUGAAAGGAUGACAAUGGGCAAAAAAUGAGUGGGGAGUUGGAAAUGAACAAAAGUAUGGGGGAGCUGGUUUGGUGGCGCACACCUGUAAUCUCAGGGACUGGGGAGGCAGAGGCAGGAUGAUUACAAGUUCAAAGCCAGCCUCAUCAAUCUAGUGAGGCCCUAAGCAACUCAGUGAGACCCUGUCUCCAAAUAAAAAAUAAAAAGGACUAGGGAUGUUGCCCAGUAGUUAAGCACCCCUGUAUUCAAUCCCUGGUACCAAGAAGAAGAAGAAAAAAAAGUAUGGGAAAGUGAAGGCAUCAGACAAUUUAAGCAGAGAGCUUGUCCACCUCAUUCACCAUGAUGUUCUUCAGCACUGGAAGAAGAGCUGGCUCUGUGAGUAUUUGUUUAAUGAAUGAGUGGAUGGAUGCAUUUUUGUAGCCAGGAGAGAGGAAUAAGACUGGAAACACAGGCCUAUCAGUCAGGUCUCAGUAGGAAACAGAAUUUCCCCCAGAUAAUUCAAGAGAAGGGAUUUUAACAAAAGGAUGUCCGAAAGAGCUUGGGUAGGGUUAAGGGAAGAAAUAGAGAUGUCGAAGCAUCCAGACCCUAGCCACCAGGGACGCAUAACACCUCUAAAGCUGAAGGGGCAAGAACAUGGUGUAGUUACCUCCAGAGAAGUGCACUCAAGUAGGGAGGGCAAGAGGAAGAAGGGUGCUGCCCCUUCUCCUCCUACCCCUGGUUCUCCUGCCAGUGUCUCCUGGUAACUGAACCCAGCUAAAAGAAGCCAGACAGCCUGAGAGCAUGGGAGUGACAUUUUGGAGACUGGAUCUGGGUAAAAGAAGCAACAUAAUCACCAUCCAUAACCGGAGCUGAAAUAUAAAGCCGGUUUAAAAACCAAAUUCUGCCUUCAUUUCCCUAGGCCUUCCAUUCAUUCCUUAUUCUCUAGAGGUGUCCCUGACCCAGUCAGCUCUUGUCAACUGGAUUGGUAAACUAUUAGUUCCUGAAGAUUUUAGAUGAGGAACUAGCACAAAAAAAGGUUCAGGAAAGUUUAUCUAUGUUCACAUUCCAAUCCUGCCACUCCUUAUGUGUAAACUGUGGGCUCAUUACUUCAAAUUCUGUGUCUCAGUUUCCAUGUCUGUAAAGCGAAGGAAAUUAUAGUAGCUAUCUCACAGUGUGGUUGUAAGUAUCCAAAGAGAUAGUCCAAGUAAAACCCUUAGGUCUGAUGGCAUUGCUCUUUUUAAAGCCUUUCUUGGGUUGAGAUUUAAACAAAUUUGUCUUUUAUUGAAGAAUUUACUGUCAAAUCAGGGUUAAAGUGAGGUCUUAAGGAAUUUGGCAAUUUGACUUUGACCAGGCAAUUUUACUUGCUUUUGUUUAUGCUGGCUGGCUUCCUUAGGCAUUGGUUUUUCCUCCUUUGAAUGACAGUAGGAUGUUAGAGAGGCUUUAGUUAAUACCAAUAAAGUCCACCUACAUGGGCUCUCAACAUACAGCUGCGAUUUAGCUUCCAGUGCAUUUCUGAAAAUUGCUUCCUUGGCAUUUCAGCAUUUUAUUUGAAAGAACAACUGAAGCAGAAAGGAAAUCAAGCAACAACAGGAGGACUUGGUUUUUGAACUCAUUAGUUGGCAAGCUGAAAAAUUUGCUUAGAUCAGUUGGGUUUUCAAAUGUGAGAAUGGGCUUCUGAUAAGAAAGUCAGUAGCUACAGUCCCAGUCUGUACUUCCUUCUUUUCCUAACAAGGUUCAUGUGCCUUGUUAAUAGGUAAGAUGUGUGGAGCUGUGGAGUGCUGUGUGCCCCUGUUUAUGCCAUCAUUAAAAUUUGAACAGACACACAUUUUAUGGAAAGGCUGACUCUAAUUAUGAUUUUUAUCCCCUCUUUGGUUUCCAAUAUUUUUUCAUAGCAUUGCUAUAAAAGAAACCUUGUUUUGGCUGUGUUCUUAAUGAAUAUUUGUGGAAAUUUCUAAAAUUAUAAAUGCAUUUACAGUUCUGACAUCAACUUAACUUACAUAGAUUAAAUAAUAAGAGGAUGUAAAAGUUUCAAUUUCAUUUUGAUACCAGAUACUUGUGGUUAUUUCAAUAUGUAGGUGAUCCUUCAUGAUAAUUCUUAAAGAUAAGCAGGUUAUUAUCAUAAUAUAUGCUUUAUACAAGUAAAUGACUUGUACGUGACUACUUCUCGAAUGAGGGAAUAUUUUAAAAUGUACCUAACAAUCCUAUCUCUUGGGCUAUGAAAGCCCUUAAACAAUGAUUCUCAAGGACUUUCUCUGUCAUUGCUUAAUAAUAUUCAAGGCCUACAGACAGUUCAGAAUUACAUUUUUAAAAUGGUAUAUACUAUAUAAUUAUAGUUCCAUUUUUUAUAAGGCAGCAAACCCCAUUGUAUAGCAACAUGAAAGGAAAUGCACCAAACUCUUAGCAGUGGGUUCUUUCUUUUUCAGUCUCAUGGGUCAAUUUUAUUACCUUUACAGUAGUUCUAAAUGGAAGAUAGGAAUACAGGAAAGGUUUAAAAACAAUACUAAUCCCUCCUCAGGGACAUCUGAGUCUUUUUUUUAUAUAUAUACCUCCCUUUUACAGUGUGGUGUCAGAGGCUGUCUGGAUUUGAAUCCUGAUUUCCUCACUUAGCAUUGUAUGACCUUGUAUAAGUACAGACAUCUCUCUGUGCUCAAUGCAAUCAUCUGAAGACAGGGGUAGUAGAGAUCUUCAGUGACCUAGCAAGAUCCUGUCUCCCAAAAUAAAAAAAUAAAAAGGGCUGAGGACAUAGCUCUGUGGUUGAGGGCACCUGGAUUCAAGUCCCAGUCCCACAUAAAAAAACUGGGGAGGGGAGUAGUAAUACUUCUCUCAUGGAGCUGUUGUGAGACUAAAUGAGAAAAUACUUAAGAACAGUGGCAGGGACUCACUUGGAAUCAAUAAAUGAGAGCUAUUAUUUUAUCAUUUAUAAUUAACCUGUUUCUAAUCCCAUCUCUUGUGGUGGAAUGUGACCUCCUGGGAUAGUCUCUGACCCUCCUUUCUUUCAGCCUUUGGUGUUCAGAAUCUGCUUUGAAGCUAUUCUGAGCCUGUCUGCACUGAUCCAUUCGUUAGCAAGUGGUCAGUUCAUGGUGACACCUCUAUAGGUCCACAAGAAGUCCUUUAGGGGUGUUAUUCUAAAACAUCCACCUUCCUAGUACUUGAAACUUCAAUCGCCUUCCAGAGUCUUACAUGGGUCAUGAAGACUAGGUGACAUCUGAAUCACAAAUUGAUUCUCAGGGUCAAGAGUAUUUGGUCUGUAUAGAAAGUCAAGGUUUAUAAACCAGUCAGUAUCUUUAUCUGGCAUCACUCUCCUCCUCAGCAGCUGCCCCCCAAACCUACUCUGCAUGAAGUUGUCCUGGCCUCAACAUUAUUUUUCUGGAAAAACCAGGAGUAUAUAUAAAUGGCUGGACCUUCAGAGAGACUGAUUUUCUAAAAUUUUUCCCAAAUUUAUUUUUAUUUGAUUUUUAAAAUGAAUAGUAUUUUGAAAGAGCAUAACCUAUAAUAUAAGGCUUAUUUCGAAUUCUUAGGAUGAUGAUGCUAAUUUUCAAUUGAUAUGUGUAAUUGCUAAUACUUGUCUCUCUGUAUAGAGCUUCCUCUUUCCAUGUUUUAGCUCCAAAUCUUGCCCUCUCGUCGAUGCAAAAUGCGUGCUUUUAAAAUACCCCACCACCCACACACAUACACACACUCCACACACAUGCACAUCUCUAUGUUUACUUUUUUGAGCAAAGGUGAGAUGCAUGAUCAUAUCUCUUUUUAAAGAUGAGACAGCCAGAAGAAAAGGCAAACAAAUCACAUUGGGAGGAACCUUCAAAGGGCUGUGUCCUAGCAUCUCUAACUGCCCUUUAUUAACCCAUUAUGGGUUAUUACUUCAUUAAAUGAAACUAUUAAAAUACCCAUGGGUUGAAGUGGGAGAAAUGGAUUAGCUAGAAUCAGCAAGUACCUGUAAAUAAGGUAUACCAGAGGGAAUUUGGUACAGGAGAGAAGGGUGAGUCAUAGCACACAUUAACUAGUACUUACAUAAUGUCUAAUAAGUUACAAAGUGAUUUAACAUACUGGAAGAGAAUGAACAGAGGGAGUGAAGAAAAUGGUAGAGAAUUAGAUGGGGUAGGGAGGCUUCCGUAUGUCACAUGGACUUUAGACCCCAAAUCGCCUUGCUUUAAUUUUAAGUUACCUGAGAUAAUGAAAAACAUGAGGACUACAGAUACCUGGAUAUCCCCUUAAUUAUUUUGCAAUGGAAAAUGGUUCAAAAUCUGCCUUACAGUUUGUGAUCUCUGAUAUCUUUAUUCCUGUUAUAGUAUGGGAAAAACAAGUUUAUUUUGAUCAUUCUCAAUGUUGAUUCAUCAAGUGGUAUCAGGAGAGGGAUUUUCAAGAACUUUCAUUCUUUUAUUCCCAAGGGCUGCCCAGGACGGUGGAAAUGAUGAAUUCAGAACUGUAGCAAAGGGGAAAACAUGACCCAAAGCCCUCCAAAGCCUGGGGUGACAAGAAGAAAUUCCUAUUUCUGACACUUAUUCUAAGGCCAUCUCUGACUCAAUAACUAGGUAAAGGGGCAGAGCAGAUUUGUACUCAGAAGACCCAGGCAGCCCUAUGACAGCUUGUCUUCUCAAACCACAGACUCGAAUUCACCUAAAUCUAAUAAGAUGCAGUCCCUCUGCUUGGAGGAAAAAUAUUCUGUAUGAAACUGUAGUAGAAGAAAGUAUGUGAGUCUGAGAGCCAAGCCUGCCCACCCCCCUAUGGGAGGCCAUAAUGUACCAUUUUACUGAAAUUUCUCUUUGCUUUGUUUUUCCCAAUGAUGCAUUUAGCUACAGCAUGUAGAGAGAAGCCCUAUUCAAGAGAGUGGGGUCAUUAUCCACACACAAAAGGCCAUUUAGAGAAAGAACAGCUCAGUCAGUUCAAGCUGUGGCUGCCAGAGUCCAGACCCAUUAGAAAAAAAAAAAAAGGUUAGCUGUUUAAGUGGGACUGUGAAACAAAAUGUAAUAAUUAGGGCUAACUGGCACCCUCCCCCCUGCCAAGAAAGCUGCCUGGGAUCAUAAACAAAUUCCCCGAAAGUUCUAAGCUUAGGGGAAAGCAAAUCAUCCACUCCAAAUGACAGUUCAGUUAUUAACCUUUACCCUAGAGGCUAGGCUUCCAUUUCUUCUUCUUCUUUUUCCUCUUUUUAAAAAUUUUUUUCAUCUUAAUAUGUACAUAUAUAUUUUUAUUGCUGCCACUUUUAUUAGGGUUGGGCUGUUCUUUCUUUAGUUUACCAGUAUUAACAUGUUCAGAUCACUGGUGUGUGUGUGUGUACCUGCACACAAACAUGGGAAAAAAAUGUAAGUCCUCAAAUUAGCAGUGGUUACCUUUAAGUCAUGAAAUACAUGGAAGAAUUGGGAAUCAAUCCUCCCAUGCUUCCUAAUUGCUCUUUAUUAAUAGAAAAAGUAAAAAAGAAAAAAGAUGCAUCAAAUAUUUCAAGUACAAUUUUCUACCUUGUCUCAUCUAAAGGAGGGAAAAGAGUUGAGAGUUUCAGCAAGGAUAAUAAUGAGAAAGGAGGUACAAACCUCAGAGGAGAGAUGGUGUGAUAAAGGAGAGCCGGACAGUAAGGGGAACCCACCCUCAGUCUCUCCUUCAGCCUCUCAGGGCAUCUGCAUAAAAGUAGCUUCAGACUCACAGAUAUUUUGUGGUUCUUAGUAAGACAAUAAAUGCUCACAGCAUUUUGCAUGCUCACAGGUGCAGUGUCCUGGCUAAUCAAACAAUGCUAGAGGUUUAAUAGACAUUUUCUGUUGGAUCGAUCACUUGGGGUAUUUUGAUGACUAGAGAGUAAUCAUAAGCACAGUGCAUGAAUAACCAAUAUUCAAUGAAUAAGUUGGGCCUAAAAUGCCAUUGAAAAUUUAAUGCUUAAUGAUUUAGAAGCACUGUGGGAACUUACAGGGCUUGACUAAGCAUUUUGAAAACAAAUGAUGAAAAUUAACACAGAAUGGACAAAGUGGAAAUUGACAAGGAGUUGCUUUUGUUAGAGUACACGAUAAAUCUGCUUUUUAUGUGAUAUUUCUAAAAUGACUUACUGGUAGAAUGGAGGUAGAAAUGAAUUGCUUGGCAAAUAAAGAUUAGGUAUUUCACUUACACCUUUGUGGAAUUUCAUUACCCCCUGCCUUCAUUUUUAUUACUCUUAUAACAAAAUAUUUAGCAAGUGCAGGACUUUUAAUCCAGGAAGUAUGAGUCCUGUGUUCACAUCACUCAAUUACCAAUUUAAGAAGUAUGCACUUUUCAACUCACAUGGGACUCUUUUAACAUUUUUGCAUCACAAGUUUUAUGAAGGGGUACAAAGGAGCAAGAGAGAAUUUUAAGUCUGUCAUUGCCUUUGGUUUGUGGGAAAAGAGUAGGUACAGGCCAAUCAAAGGUUGAGAAAUGAUAUCAAUUUAAUCCAUUCAAGAAAUACAUUUGAAUGCCUACUAUGCUCCAGGCACUAUUGUGGGCACUUGUGAUACAUAGAUUUUUACCAGUGAAGAGAGAUGAUAAUACAUAUUAUAAAUAUAUUCAUGAUGUUAGAGGAUGUUAAAGUUAUUGAAAAAUAGGGCAAGACACUGGGGAUUCAGAAAGAAAAAGAGUCGCUUCUGAAAUUUUAAAUAAUUUGUUUAGAGUAGGCUUCACUGAGAAAAUGUUUCAGCAAAACCUUGAAGGAAACAAAGGAUUCAAUCACGUGGGUAUGUGGAAGGGAAGUGCUUCAGGGUACAAAAUAGAGACACUGGAUAGGGGAAAAUGAUUUGCUGAGGAAAAUAAAAAGUAGAGCGGAAAAGAAGAAGAAAAGGAGAGACAUUUGAGAUAAAGAGGCAGCUUAUGCAUUCCUAAUGUAAUGGAACUUGGAACCAUGUGGCUUUGGAUAAUUGUGCUUGGAAGGAAUAAUAAGAAUAAUCUCUUUACCCAAAAUAUGAUUAGCAUUUGUGACACAGCCCUAUAAAAUAAGUAGGUAAAUGUGCUCAGAUUUUACACACUAAAGACUGGCAUAUUUAUAGUGAGAGCUAGAAAAUUGAAUGCAUUCAUUAUUUUAUCUUGUUUAAUCUGAGUAUCAUACAUACCAGACACUGUGUUAGGGACUGUGGUGUGGUGGUAACCAAAAUAGAUGUGAUUCCUACAUUCAUGCAGAGAUGCACUUUAAUUAAGUGAUAUAUUCAUUAUCUUAUGGUGAGAGCUAUGGAAAAUUAUAUAGAAGCAUGAAAGCAUCUGAUCUACUUUGGGAGUCAGAACUAAAUAUCUACCAGGAAAUGAUAUUUGAGCUGAGAUUUGAGGGAUGAGUUAGAGUCCUGUAGGCAGAGGUGGAAGAAAGCAUGGAAUAUUUGAAGAACUGAAAGACCAGUGGCUUAAGGAGGGAAGAAUAGUUCAGCCAAUUAGAAUCCUAUCAGAAAAUAGAAGGCACACUCAAAUAGGCCAAGUGAGGACAGUUUAAUUAAAGGGCUCUUUAUAAUGGUGUCUGAAUGGUUAAGGGAAAUUAACAAGGGAUGUCCAGUACCCCAGGAGAGCAAGAAUGAAAAGCUCUCCCCAUUCCUGGGCACCAAAGUGGAAGGCAGGGAUGAUUAUCAGACAAAAUAGUUAUAGUGAAAAAAUAUUACACAGUAAUUGUGACCUUCUAAAAAGAGAUGUAGUCAGGGUUGGGUAUGUGGCUCAGAGGUAGAACACUUGCCUAGUAUGCAUAAGGCACUGAAUUCAAUCUCCAGCAUUGGGGAGAGGGAGAGAGAGAGAGGGUGGGGGGCACGUGGAGAUGGGUCUAGCCAGUCUAAGGUUAUAUAGCAGGGGGAAAAUUAUAUACAGCAAUCUCCAGCCUCCUUCCCAUCUCCUUCCUUUCUUUCUUGUUUCAUUUCCUACCUUUCUUUGAUCAAUCUUUAGUCAAACAAGUGAGGGAGCCCUUUGAUGUAGCCAUAAAGACCAGCUCCCAGGGCACAGAGCAGAGAGAAGAAGGAUGCAGUGUCUUUCAAGGAGCAAUGGAAAAUAUCUUACACAAUUAUGAAACAGAUCAUAACAGAUCUUAUUGAUCAAGGAAAGAUUCUGGUUUCAGUCUUCCUAAAAGUGAUAGGAAGCUAGGGAAUAAUGUGCUCAGAUUUGCAUUUAUCAAAUAUAAUCUGAACAGACUGGCCCCAUUCAUGGAGGAUGCAGGAAGUUCAGGAGGUAUUAUGUGGCCCCAGAAGAGAGGUAGGCAGCAUCUACCAAUUUGUCGUUGUGAAAAGUGAGGAUGUGUGGAGGACUCAGGAGGCAAUGAGUUUGCGUUGGUCUGGGAAGGGGAAAUGUGAAAGAGAAUGAGAAAUAUCAGAGGAGAGCUCCAGAUGUGUGGUCUACGGGAGCAAAUGUGUGGUAGUGCCAUUCCCCACAGGAGGACUAGGUUUAGAAGUUGGAUAACAUCAUAACUUUGUUUUGGACAUAGUGAGUCUUUGAGAAAACCAGCAGUAAAUGACCAAGUAAUAACUACAUUUAAGCAGUUAUUUCAUAGCUUGGCUUUUAUUGUGCCCCAACAAGGUUCUCAGCUAGUUUCUCCAAUGCUCAAAAUAUGAAGGCAGAUAUUAUUUCCCCCAGUUUAUGGAUGAGAAAACCAGGCUUAAGGAGGUUAAAUUCUUUGCUUACCUUCAGGACUAAAAACUCAGACAUUUUAACCCUGCUGGAGAUCUUUCUCCUGUGUGCUAUGGUAAUCUAGGCAUCACAGAUGUCUCAAAGAAACCUGUAGAAGAGUGAAUUUUUUUCUGUUAUAAGGUCUUGUUUCAUUUGGGGAAAAUAUGGGCUUUGUCUCUUUGGAUUCGAGAGCAGGCUCAUGUGAGUUUCAGUUAAUCAACUAAUCAGCACUCACUGAGAAAUUAUCAUAUAUUUAGAAUUUUGCUGCCCAUUAUAAAAAGAUUAUGAAUAGUAUAAGACGAUCCUUGAUUCAAGGGUUUAAAAAUUAGGAGAGGGAGCAAAUAAAUACAGGAAACAUGAGUGAUAAUGGGCUGAUAGAACAGCUUGAGGAAAGGACAGAUAAAUAAGUCUUAUUUAGGGGAGACCUACAUGGUGUGUACAAAAGGAAUUAAAAAAAAAAGAGAGAUACUGUGCUGAUGGGCUAAGAAAUUUCAGUAACUGAAUGCUGGUCUGUGGAUUGGAUGUCUCCGUCCCAGAAAAUUUCUUAAGUGUGCAAUUAAUUACAAUUAGCUAAAUGAAGUAUGUGUUAAAUGGUCUGAAAAUUGAAGCUACUGGGAACCUAUUUUAUUUAACAUUUAUUUUUCAGAUUCCUGCAAUCAAGAGUGGUUUUCUUUUUUGAUAGACAAGGGACAGCAAUCUGUUCACAUUUUUGCUGAAGGAAAAGCUGAUAUUGUGACUGUGUUUAAAUCUGAUAGAAUCUAAAUCCUUAUCCCACUAAUGAAAAAUAUCAUCAACAAAUCUUAGUCUAAGAUCUUUGAGCUUCCAAAAAUGUAUUCUUUAUGGGAAAAUCACCUUGAAUUUAUUUCCAAAAAAGAAAGAUAAAACCUUUCUUAAAUAAAGGCAUUUAAAAAAGACAUUUUCUUUGUAGUAUUAUGAUAACUGACCCAACCCUUGCAUGGCGCCAAUGAUUUGCACAGUUCUUUAUAUACUUUAUCUCAUUUGACAACUAAGUAAAGCUGAACUUUACCAGGAAGUUAUGUUGGAUAAAUAGUUCACCAAAGAGGAAAAAAUGUGUUGGUUUAAACAAAUUUAAAAACGAAAAUGAGUCUUGGGUACUUAGAUAGUAAGAAGUCAUGGGUUACCAUAUAGUAAAAUCUAUGCAGCAAUGUAAAAAUGAUAACAGUUGUAUGAAUAACCAACAAUGGAUUGAGCCUUUGCUGUAUACAGUGGUCUAUACAUGUCUGCGUAUUAACUUGAUUAAUCCUACAGAAAUCCCAUGAAGAAUAUAGUCAACCACUUCCACGUUACAGGUGAGGAACCUGAGGCACCAGUGUUUGAGUAACUAGUCCAAGGUUAUAAAACCAAUAAGUGAAGGAGCUGGACUGUGACCCAAGAAGUUUGCCUCAAGAACUCUCACUCUAAAUUGCUAAAAAUGACUUCCACAAUGUAAAUUUUCUUUUAUGUAAACAUUGUUUCCUAAGUAAAAAUGGUAAAAUAGCCAAUAAUUUGUGAACAAAAACAAAGUGAAGAAAUCAAGCAGGUGCUAUUGUGAACACUAACUUAGACUACUUAAUAAAAUCAUAGAAAGGGGAGAAAGAAAAGAAAUAAUUUAUAAAAGAAAUAUUAAUAUAGAAUAAUUUCAUUCCUAAGCAAAGAAAAGAAUAUUUACUUGAGGAUUUAGAAAUGAAAAUAUUUCUAACAUUUUAUCUAUUCACUGAAGAAAGAGAAAGAAAGGUUAAGAUGGAAGAGGUUUAUUUAGGAUCUAACACCUACCCAAUGUUAUCAUUAUUAUAAAAUUUGUUUAAAAUCCUCCCUAAAAGUAUUUCCUGCUUUACUUGGAAAGGAAACUAGGAGUUUAAUAUAGAAUAAUUUCAUUCCUAAGCAAGAAAGAGAGGGUAUAGAAACAAAUGGAAUAUUCUGAAAUCUUGGUCACCUCACUGAAGAUUUCAGGUUUUUCUUUAUCUGCUCCUCCCAUGGGGUGUGGCAGAUGCAAAGGGCAAGUGGCAACAGGAACAGUUCUUCUAACUUUGUCCCCUUUGGGGCCAGGACACUGGCAUCCAUAUUCAGCCAGCUUUUGAGAAUUAUUUUGUGACAGGAAGCAAACUUUGUCCCUUGAAGUUUGAAGAUACUUGUAAUUUGAGGUGGAAAAGAACAAAUCCCCAUCAAUUCUGAUAAAAUAUAAAAGGGAGAUUUUAGGACUGUUUUGCAAUUGAAAAUGGAUGGAAGGACUUUUCCAAAGUCCCUUUCAAGAGACUAAGAAUUUUCCCUAAGGUGUUUUUUUCAGACAAAGAGAGAUGAGUGCAUCUUUCAUGAACACUCCUUAGGAUUAGAAAGUCACUGGGGAGGUGCCCAGGGGUGAGUCUCAGAGAAAUGCUACCAUAUUGCAUGCAUUUAUUUUUUGUUUUGCAUCUUAUUUUUUAUUUCAUUCCAGUAUUAGGUUUCUAAGAUUUAUCCACAGCUGGAGGUGUAGCUUACUUGUAGAACGCAUAUUUAGCAUGCAUGAGGGGUUGGGUUUAAUCGCCAGCACCAAUAAACAAACAAACCCAUAAGUUGAUUUUUAACAGGGAUUUAUCUAUGUUGCUGCUUAAAACUAUAAUUUACUCAUAUUCACUGCUAUAUUAUAUUCUGUGAUGAUUCUUUCAAAUGUAUUUAGUCAUUCUGGAUAGUAGUUUGGGGGGCUUGUGAGUAAAGGCUAAAUAAUCAAGACUAGGCCGAUAUACUCUUUCAAGAAUUUCUCUAGGCCAAUGGCUUUCAACUUUGGUUUUUUAUUUUUAUGAAAAACAUAUAUUUAUAUUGUAUUCCAGUACACAUGCACAUGUUGUAUCCUAUAUACAUAUAAAUAAUUUAAAUAAAAUUUAAUGAAAUUCAGGAGUGUGCUAAAAAGGAGCAAAGUGAUUAUUGAGUAGGUUGACAUGCAGCUACCUGUACUUUUCUGUAUUUAGAGAGUUAAAUUAUGUGUGUGUGUAUAAUAUAAAAAUAUUUGUAUAUUUUACAAAUAUAUGUAGGCAUACCUAUAUAUAUUAAACCAUAUGUAUAAAUAAAUGUUGGGUGUUCUUCCAGCAGUGAGACAGCAGUUUGUAUAUGUACCCCACUUUCCUAAUAAAUACAAGCAGUCUUCGAAUCAAGCAUAGUCUGUGUUCUUAUUUCACAGGAAAGUGAGUAGUUUGGAAUGCAAACUACCAUUUCUAAAGGAGAAAGACAGCAUGAAAUGGGUUCCUCUUGGGGUCUCUAGAGGAGAGUGUUGAUAGUUCCCGUGGUCCCUCUUGCUUCUAAAGCCUCAGCAGGGGAAGGCUUUGCGGGGAGGACCCUGGGGCAGGACUGCAUAGUUAAGAAUGGGAAGCUACUUGAUACUAGGCAGGAGGAGGCCCUCGGGGCUACUUCUCGUGGCAUUGUGUCCUGGGCAGCUGAGGAACAGUGGGAUGGGAUGAGGAUCUGUGAAGUAGUGAUGAUAAAUCAAGGGGAAGCCUCCUUUUUCAUGGGAUCCUUAUGUCCACAGACCCAUCAAUAAUAAGAACACAAAGCCAAAAACAAUGAGCACCACUGGGGAAGGGCAGAUCACAAAUCAAGGGAGACCAGACCUGGGGAAACUUUUCCAGAAAGGAAAGAGAAGUACUGGGCUAUGAAUUAGACAUAUAGCAUGGGCAGGAGGUGCAAUCAAGGUGCAGGGGGAAAGUAUACAAGGCCUGGGUUUGAACAAAUUCUAAUAGCUCAGGUCAGCUGGUUGGAGAGAACUGCAAAGGGAAACACCAGGAGAUGCAGGGAAGGACUGAAUGAAACCUUGACGGGAUGAAGGUUGAGGACUGGCAGGAUAAGAUGGGACAGCUCAGAUCUCAACUCACAGGUAACAUGCUUCUCUCUCUAACAACAUCCCUGCCAUUGCUUAAAAACUACUGUUGAAAUAACUCUCCACAGAUAGAAGACUUGGUGUGUAAGGAAAUAUAUUAGUAGAUUGUAAAAUAACAUGUAAUUUAUUCUUCUAUAUGCCUUAUGCUUUUUCUCUAUUUUUACAAAGAAAUGUCACACAAAUAUUGUUAAACAGAUUAGUGUACAAAGGAAUGGGUGUGCGGAUAGAUAGGUAGGUGGAUACAUAGAUAAGUGGACAUGUGGUGGAUGUAGGAUAGAAUGGAAGGGUGGAAAGUCAGGUGUGUGGGCAGACAAGGUGAGUAGGUAGUGGGUGAUGAGCAGGUGGAUGAGCAUUUGGUGGCUGGCUUGCUGGACACCUAAAGUGUUGGGUGAAUUUCUGUAUAAUCCAAUGAUGAAUUAUUCAACAGCAGACAGAAAUAUGUCAAUAAUGUAAAUCCUAGCAAUGGUUUGUUAGUAAAAUUUUAAUUUAGUUAUAGGAGUCAAGUUUAUCUUUUUAGUAUACUUUUCUGAAGCAAGCACAUCCUUCAAUGAACAUUUGAAUAAAACUCCUGACCCUUUAUUUCUAAAACUAUUCACCACUACCUGACCUAGAAUAGAAUUUGAAAUUUUCUCAAGCACAACCUAUGGCAAGGCCACUGAAAAGAUAAAAGUAUAAUUUAUCUUUGAAUUUUAGAGUGAUUUUUAAAAUUAGCAUUCAACAUUCUAAACAAUGAAGGGAUUCAUCUAUAUUCACAGUUUCAAAUCAGUUUUGUACAACACUAUUUACUUUCAAAACAAACAAACAACCAAACACCAAUCAAUCCACCAGCCAGCCUGCCAAACAACCAAACUGCCCAAAUCCUCAAUCAACUGUAUGUAAGAGGGGUGGUGUGGCAGUUUCCUGGUAAGUAAGUUUUCAAGGAAGAUACUCCUGCUAUUCAAAGUGUGGUCCUUAGACCAGAAGGAUCAGCAUCACGAGUGAGCUUGUGAGAAAUGCAGACUAUUAGGUCCCAUCCCAAACCUACUGAAAAGUUUGAGAAAUAAUUCCAUUUGUACCUUCUUGGAAUUUAAAAUGUAUACACCAUUAUGCAUUGUUUAGUUUUCUUUAAUACAAUGUUUACUAACCUUAUUUGAACAUGGAUCUUUUCUUUUUUCUCUUUCUUUCUUUCUCUUUUCUUUUUUUUUUUUUUACUGGAACAACCAUUUAACAUUACUUGGAAAUUGUGGAACACAGUUGGGGUGAUGCUGAGGUCAAUGCAAACUAAAGCCCUCCCAAAUAAAGCAUUCCAUGUCUGUAUUAAUAAUAUUGAUAUAGGUGCACAUGUUUAUGUAUGUGUAUAUAUGCAUAUGUGUCUUUUUAUCUACUUACCUGAUAGAAAUUAGUCAUGAUUAUACUUCUAAUGUUUAAUGAAAACAAAAGGGAAAACAGAUUUGUUAGAUUUGAGAAAAUGGCAGAAUGCAAUUUUAGGUUCUUUGUGAAGAGGAGGAAUUUUGAGAGAAUGGAUUAGUUGAAUCAUGAGGUCAGUGUCUACUGAGGAAUAUGUAUAUAGGGCUGGGAUUUCUUUUUACCUUUCAACAUCUUUUCCAAAAUCUAUUUUCUUCAGUAUAGAGGGCACAGUUUUUAUGCACUUUCUCCCACAUGUUCCUAUUCAAAUAUUUUAUUUUUAGAAAGAAUUCUAUUUGGAGGAAACAUUAAAAUUUUCAUAGUCUUUUAAGACUGUUUUUAAAGAACAUUAGUUUUUAUAUGAAGUUUCUUUGGGCAAGUACAAAUUGAUAUGAAAGAUUUGGAUUUAAUUUGAUGUUAUUGGAAGUAAUCUAAAAAUAAACAAUACUUCCUAGUGGUGGUGGUUCAAUCUUUUAAAGCAAUAUUUUGAACAUAGUAGGUAUUUUGAACAUAGUACCUACCCAAAAGCACAUGGAUCCCACCCCACACCCAGCUUCCUGAAUCACAUGGAUCCAGGAUGGAGACUCUUUUUUAUUCCAGAGACUGAACACUUGAGAAUAGAAAUGACUUUGUCAUUGCGCAGUUCACUUUAUUCUGAACAGUCUUGGGGAUGAGUGGGAGUAACAGUAAGACUAUGCCAAGGCUAUCAAAAUGAGGCAAUUUUACAGACAUCUUUCACUUUAAUAGGUACACAUUUAUCUUUAUAUGAGAAAAAAUAUCAUCGACAUAACAAAUAUGCCACUUCCUAGAUAUUAUCACUUAGGACAAGGUUAAAUUUUAAAAGGGAAGCUAUUUUUAAAAAGAAAAUAAUAUCCCAGGUGUGUGUGUGUGUGUGUGUAUAGACAUUGUGACGGUAGUUAUGUAAAGGUUACAGUGUGGGAAUAUUCCUCUAACCCAGCCCUUUUGUUCUGUGGAUGAAAAUAAAGCCCAGUAUACAUGGAAGUUUGUGGGAAUUAGGGCCAAGGAUUUUUUACUUCUCAGAACCAUGAUAAAAUCUCUGCAGUUGCCUCAGACAAAAAUGCCUUAAGUAUAUCUGAAUUAUCCUUGUGGUGUCAAGUUAUCAAUCACAGUAAAUUUCUAUUUCCUUAGAUAGUGGAUAACUGAUUAUAAGAUUCAGUUCAUAAUUUUCAGUAUUCUUCAAAACAUUCAGAUACAUUAAAGAAUACAAUGAAGUAACCUCUCCCUCAAAAAUAGGUUGAGUUUACCUUACCUGGAGUAUGAACCAGAAAUUGUCAUAGGGAUUUGCCUCACACCUGUGACCUCUUUUCUGGGGGUUGAUUUUUCCUAUCAGUCAGAUGAAAACUUGAUCAAGUCAUGAUUUUGCCUCCAAUUUCUUUAUGUAAAACAUAAAGGAAAAGAUGCUUUAUGCCACUUAACUUCCCAGUGACUUAUUUUCUCCACCUGUGAAAUACCACUUUAUCAAUCUCUCAGGUCACUCCUAUCUCCAAGUUCCUAUGACUUCAAAACUAUUAUAAAAAUGAAUGGUGCAUUAAACCCAUAGAGGUAGCUGAACUUCCAGGGAGACAUGGUUAUUCGAUAUUAAAACUGGCAUAUUUAAGUGCCUACUAUGUUACAAGUAUUCAACACACAUUGUCUUGUUUAAUUUGCUUAGCACAUGAACACAAUUCCUUUUUCACAUGGAGAAACUGGAGUUCAGAGGAUUGCAGUAACUUAUUCAAGAUCACACAGCUAGUGAGUAGUAGGGCUGAGAUUUGAGACCAGCUCUUCUUUUCUCAGAAGUUCACUCCUUAACUUCCUCAUUCCAAACUCCAUUUCCAUGGCCAAAGUGUUAUUGCCAAUACCUUUGAGGUAAAGUUAUAGAGCAGGAUUGCAGAAAAAAUACCCUUCCAUUUGUAGGUUUGUCAACACAGGUGAAAAAACAUUCUAAGGAUUGCCUAAUCAGUGAGAAUAUUGAGGACAUGUAUCAUUUUGUGCCUAAUUCCUUAAUAUAUGGAAUAUAUUAAUGACGUUCAGUUUAUCAAAUGCAAUUUGCAAGUGAAUUUGCAAUUGAAAAUCCAAACUCUAAUACUGAUAUAGAUUCUAGAGAAUAACUGAUUAAAUAUUAUUCACAGAAGAUAAAUGAAUAGAAACCAUAUGAAUAUUUGAAGGCAAGUAAAAGUAGACUCAUGGUUUUAGGAUUAUUCAGGAUUGGAUUUCAUUUUAUUGAAAAUAGAAAACAAAUAUUGUUACUACCUGAAAGAAAAUAUGAUUUUUUUUUAUAGAAAAAUGGGAACAAAUAACAAAAUUUGGGAAAUGUCUAAAAUUACAAUCAUUAUAUUUAUUGCUGGAGGGCUACAUUUUACAGCAAACUAGAAGUUUGUGUGUUUAUUUAUGCACAUAUUUAAGUGCUGAGUCAAAAAUCAGAUUUAAAAAAAUGUAUUAAGUAGCAUCGACUCACUGUUGCAGCAGGCUUCAAACAUAAACUGUAUGCAGAUUUGGCAUUAUCAUUUGAAAUAAUAACGGAGAGAAAUUCACUUUGAGACCAAACCGUUUUGAUCUGCAAAGUGGCAAGAAAAACAAUUUCUUCAGGACACAGAGAAUCAACUUUAGAUAAUGUGUGCUUUGAAAAAAUAAGAAGUAAGCCUUCACUUCUAGCUUGCAGGCUUACAUCUCACCAUAUUCCAAACUCGGGGCUCACAGAAAUGAACGAAAAAUAAUCCUUAAACUAGCACAUUCAUACCUCAUAAAAGCAAAAGCUUUCCUAUUUCAACCGAUAUUCAUUUAAACAGCAAUCUGCAAAAUGGUCAGCCUUUCAAGUGAAUUAGUCAGUUCAUAUGCCUAACAUAAUCACCUAUUUUGGACAAGAUGCUCUGAUGAACAAAUGUUCAGAUUGAGAGUAAAAUGAAGGUAACUGUGAUUUUUCCCAGCGGCCAUCAGCUUGUGAAUAUGAACGAGAUUACUUAAAAUAAUGAUUUCAUUUUUACUGGCUUCACCUACAUGAUACAGUUCCCCAAAAGCCAUGUAAAGCUUCCCCACUGUCAAACAUGCUGGUUCUUCACUAACCAGGCUGGCUGGUGCCCUACCAGGCUGGCUGUCCUAGGGCACAUGCCCACUCCUCUGCGGCUACCCCAAUGAGUCUACCCCACUGAUUCCUUGGGUUGGGCCCAUGUCAGGGCAGUAUCUUGGGUGUAUAGGAGAGAAGACUGUGAUUCACUCUGACUCCAACAGAUAAAGCACAGACUUGAGGACCUGAUAACUAGUGGAUGAUCACUUGUGGGGGUUUGUUAAUUAAUCAGACCUACUAAUGAACUGGGGAACUGCCCAAGAGCUCUUGUAAACUGUGGUAAGUUUGGCUUGGAGAAUGCAAUUUGGAUCUAAAGCCAAGUGUGUCAUCUCAUCCCCAUGAACUUUCAGGCCGUAAGGCCAUCUGGAGCCUGAAGUAGGCCAGGACAGUGAGAGAAAGGACAAAGUCACCACCUGGCCAGGAGCAUGGAAGAUCACAGGCCUCUCCUGUAAACCCCAUUAUAUGCUGACCUGAGAGUAGGGAGGGAAGUAAGUAAGGUCAGAGGCUGACUCUCCUCUUAGGUUUCAUCGUGAGGCACCAGGGACCUGGGGAUGAGUGCCACUGCUCCCACACAGGACAUAAAGAGCAAGAGACCUGAGCGGACAACACAGGGAGAUUCUCCCCAGAGGCAGCCAGGUUCUCUCCAGUCAGAGCAGCUCAUUUCUAACUUUGCAAAGAAGCAGGUAUUGACUGGCAGAGAAGCUAGGAAUGUUCUUCGCAGCCACAGCCUUGAGGGAAGGAGGAUAGAAGCUCUGUGGAAAGUGAACAUGGGGCAUUGAAUGCUUCCCCAGGACUGCACAGUUGAAUGGCAUGAAGUGCCAUGAGGAGGGGUCAGGGGAGAGCUGCAGUCCUGGCUGUGUGUUACAUAUACUCUUAUUUGAGGGAUCCCCAUACCUACACCCCAGUAUGAAGAGAGUUCUUUCAGUGUUGGUUUAUCAUCUUUCUGCCUUCCCUGGGUCUAAUGCGCCUGGCAGAGGAGGUAAUCCAAGUGGCAGCCCUGCCCGUGCACAGAGUCCCCUCUCCUCCAAAGUGAGGGAAGAACAAUGCGUCAUUGGCUUGGCCUUUCGUGCUUGGCUGUUUCCUUUAGAAUUAGUGUUUUCCGGAAGAUGUCACAGCCCCUUGCCUCCUGGAAAAAUCUUCUUUGGAACAGUCCCAAGAAUCUGCUAGACCUCUGCAUGUAUGUCCAAUCCCAAAAGUAAUUAGAGUUUUCCUCACUAGGAACUUCUCUUUUAUCCAACACCAGUGGGUGUCCUGUGAGUUCGCCAGACGAUGCCAACCAUACCCGUACUCCAGCAGCAAACCUGGCCCCAGCCAGUAGUCAUCCCCACCUGGCAUAAGUCAUAAUCUAAUUAUCAUCAAGUAGCUACCUAGGAGUUGGUUAACUUAUGUAAAAUUAAUCUUUCAGGCACUUAACCCAUGAAAUGAAGGAAAAAGAUAAAAAAGAGCUCAGGAAGUCAUUUAAAUGAAAAAGUCCAUUAAUUCCUCUAUUAAUUCCUGCUUUGUUUUACUCAGCAUUUAUUUAGUACUUCUGUAAGUGAUAAACACACCGUCUGGGGAUAAGAAGAUAAAUAAGAUUUAGUCCCUGUCAAGAAAUUCACUGUCUGGGGAUAAAGGCCAACACAUAAACAGGUUACUGCCACCUGUCAUAAAUCCUUCUGCACCAAAGGGUGGGUAUUACAAAUUUUAUAAAAAUGCAACAUGCAGAAAUGCUAAAACAGACACACAAAAUGACAUGAGGUGCAGGGAGGAACAGCUAAUUUUUAAUACAACCACUAGGCAGUCCCUAAAUUGGAAAAAUUUGUGAAAUUAUAAAAGAUAAGAACUUUGGUUUAAUUUUUUGGUAUUAUGAUUAUCCAGGCCUAGAUUUCUAUUACAGUGAAUGUUUAAUGUGAUUAUUUUGGGGGGUUUAUUUAUAGCAUAUUCAUGGUAGCAAUGACCAGUAAUGAACUUCGGCUUAUGAAAAUAGAUCCUUAAUAAAGUAAACUCAUUUACUGGGAAACCAUUGGAACAUUUUGGUCCUGUGGAAAAACACAGUUAUGUGUUUUCUGAUAAUUUAUUUCCUGCUUAUGUAACUGACCUGCCAUGUUUAAAGCAUUAUUCAAGCCAAUGUUUCAGAAAAUCGAGCAACUGUUUUUCUCCAAAAAAGAAAAGAUUACUUUUAAGAUUUGAUAUGUACUUGUUUCCUGGUUUUAUUCAGUUUUGAGAUAAAAAUUAAAAUUGAAAAGUAUUUUUAGUAUGGCCUUUUUAAAUCACUGAACUUGGAAGUCAGUAGCUCAUUUGAUCUAUAUUAUUUUUCUGGCUCUGUGGGUCAAUGCUUUACAACCACUGAUAGAGAGAGUUCCUUAAAUAUGAUCAGAUUGAAGGAUUUGGGAAUGUGAUCCACUGAUUCCACAAUCUAUUGAUCCACCGUUCCUUCUUUCUUUUUACAUUGCUUUCUUUCCCCCCACUUAUAUUUGGACACAGACUCUUGUUUUUAACUUUGCCAGCUCCUACCUUGAGCUUUUCAGUGGUAUAUUUGAAUAUUGUUCAGCUUUUUGAUGAACAUCAGUUUCAGUAAAUGAUUUUGUGAACAUGUUUUAAUAACCUAGUAUAAAUCUCUCCUUACAGACAAUAUUCAAGUACAGUACAGAUAGACCUCGCAUAAAGUAGAAAUUGAUAUGGACACAAAAUUAUUGAGCCUGAUAUUUAUGGGAGUUCAUACUGUUUAAUAUAAUGGAUGAUUAUGUACAGUGGAUAUCUUUAGUUUCUCCAUCUGGUAGCUCCCUGAUUUUUUCCUUGGAGACUCAAUUAUCCCUACCUGAGUCCAGAAGACAAGGAAAUUGACAAAUUUGGUAUAUCAUGGGCACCGCAGUGCUUGCAAUGGAAGUGGACACAGGACACAAGAAAGGUUAAUCAAAGCCAGUCCUGGGACUUCUUCAGGAACUAAUGAGUUUUGGUGAGAGUAAGCUUAUAGCUGUUGGAAACAAUCUGCUACCUAAGGAAGACAUCAUCAUGCUGGCACAUGCCUGCAAACCCAGUCACUUGGGAGGCUGAGGCAGGAGGAUUCCAAGUUGGAGGCCAGUCUAAACAACUUAGUGAGAACUUGUCUCAGAAUAAAAUAACAUAAGGACUGUGAACAUAGCUAAGUGGAGUAUACAUAAGGCCCUGGGCUCAAUUGGCAGUCAAGGGCAGGGCAGUGGAGAGGGGGUGGAUACAUCACAAAGAAAGCAAAGCUGAGAUCUGGAGGGGAGAUAUCCUGGUCCUAAUGCCAUUAUUUCAGCCUCAGAUCUCAUGGGCCUUGAGGCUAAUGAAACAUUUUAUGUCUAAAAAAAAAAAAAAAAAAAGGAACUGAUAUGCUACUAAAUUUACUGUAGCAUAUUACCCUUAUACUUGAAGUUCACAUUUACCUCUUUUGAAGUCUUACUGUCUCUUGUCUGUCUCCCCCAGUAGAUUUUAAAUGCCUUGAAAUCAGAAUUCCCCACUAUCCAGCAAUUAACAGAUUCUCAAUAAAUAUUUCUUUGACAAUCCCGAAGCUACCCUUAAAACAAAAAUCACACAGUGAGAUAGUUAUAUAUUGAUAAUAUAUAUUAACAUUUCUUUUUUAUGAAGGCCAGAUUUAUUAAACGGGUGAAAGAAUACACAAAAAGCAUGGGAAUACUAGACCCAAAGAGGGGUCAAGUUCGAAUUUUAUAAUAAUCAAGUUGUCACAUUUCUAGGUAGGAGAUGAGACACUAGUUGAUUGAAAAAUAUUUGGGAAAGAUUUUGCACUUUUCAGUUCCAGGUAAUGGAACUGAAUAUAAUAAGGUACCUGGAGAGACAUGACAGUUUCUUUUUAAAAUAAAAUUUCUGGCAUUAUAGGUCCAGAAUGACUAGCUACCUAGAUGAAGUCCCAUAAUUUAGUUUCACCAUGUCUGCUCCAACAAAUUUUCCACAAAAUUAUAUCUACUACCUGUAACAAUAGUAGAGAACUUCACUUUACUCUGAUAGAAUGGAAUUGCUAGAACAGGAGAAAUCAUCCUUUAUUCAUCUGUGCAUUUAACAAUUUGGAGUUUCCUCUUAUGUCCCGUCCCUGAAAAGUUCACAAACAGAAGAUGAGAACUGUCACUACCUGUCACUGCUUGAAACGCCUAGUGGUGGGGUCCGCUUAUCCAUGGAUUUCUGGAUAAACAAGAAUUAAUAACUAAGAAAGAUCAAUGAGAGAUCAAUGACGGACAGAACAUACAAUUUGUCAAUCAAGACAAGCAGUCUUUAGAGAGGCAGGAAAAGGUAGAGACUAAUUACAAAACUUUAUUAAAGAACUUUGUAAUUAAUCUACACUCUACUUCCUCUGUCAUGAAAUACCCAGACCUGGAAGGAGCAGCAUACAAAAAUGAAUAAAGAAACAUACCGCCCUGGCAGCCCCACUUUCCAUCACACAUGCUUCUCCCUCAGAGCCCUGUGCCCCACAGAAGCUCCUAAUUGACAGGAGAUGAGGCCCACCCACCUGCAGGUAUAGAAAUAUUGGAUGUCCGGCUAAAGGCAGUUACCUGUUUUCUUUCUCAAACUUGCAGUUCUAGUUCAAUUGAAGAAUAACUGAAAGUUCAAUGUCUAAUGGCUUUUCACCAACAGAGUUCACCUUCAACAUUGCUUGACUUCAUUUUGGGAAAGAGACUUCUUAUCCUGCCACCUGAAAUCUAUACCAAACUUUAAAACCCAAAGCCUUCAUUAUUAUUUGACUAGCUUCACCCUUCCUGGUUUAGGAAGAAGCUGAGUUCUGUGUGAUCCUGUGGAUGGAUGUUUAGCACGCUUUGUUCCUUGGUGGUAAGCAUUAUUUAGCAAGACUUUCUGUCAGUUGUUUUCUGAAUUCUAAUUACUAAGAUUUUAGCUUCCCAAGGCAAAUACAAUCUUACUCUGUGUGUGUGUGUGUGUGUGUGUGUAUGUGUAUGUGUGUGAAAAUUUCAACUUCACAUGUUCAUUCUGAAUUUUUAUGAAUAUAUUACUUUGGUAAAAUUCUUUUUUCCCUCUAAGUUCUUUUUAGUCCUUUGGGUUUAGAAUAAGCUCUGCGGACUUAUUAGUAGGACAAACCAGUUCUUUACCAAGAGGCUGUAUGCCACACCCUUGCAAUGGCAAGCAGACUCUUAUUUUUUAAAAAAUUUUUUUAGUCAUAGUUGGACACAAUACCCUUAUUUAUUUAUUUUUAAUGCAUUGCUGCAGAUCAAACCCAGUGCUUCGUAUGUGCUAGGCAAGCGUUGUACUGCUGAGCCACAACCCCAGCCCCUAGACUCUUAUUUUUUAAAUUAUAGGAUUAUAAUUUAAAUAAACAAGCAACACUGUUUUUUUAACCACUGUUUUUAUUGAAGUAUUGAAGGAUAUGUGUGAGUAUCAGUAAUGCAGCCAAGAAUACCCUUGAAAAUAUUCUGUAUAAGAUGCCCUUAUCCAGAUGGCCUGAAAAUAAAUGUUCAGAAGUAUAGCUUGUUUUCCCAGGUAUGAUGAGUAUUGCCCCAAACACUGUAGUUUCUAAGGGGAUAUCAGCCCAGAUACUUUAAUAUAAUCCACUUCUCAUUUCACAGUUAUAUCAAUUGUUAAAAUAAUUUAAUACCAGGUGAUAAAAUGGACAUAAAUGUCCCUGAACUUUUUUUAAAGAAUAUGGAAGUACAUUCACUUUCUUUUUAUGUGACUUUUAUCUUAUUACUAUACAAAUAUAUAUUUAUAUUAUAUAUUACUACCUAUAUUUUGCAUUAAGUAACCACAUAUAUUUAUUGUUUUAAAGUUAGAAAUAAUCAUACAUAAAAGAAAAUCUACCCGCAAUCCCACCACCCCCUCUUCACAUUUUAAUAUUUAUAUAUGUAGAUUGUCUUAUUUUUGUAACCUAUCUUUUUACUUAAAUAGUAAGCAAUUUUCCAAUGCUUUCAGAAUCUGCUUCCAACCUUGAAUCUAGAAGCAUAACCUGAAGGUAACCCUCAUGAUCUUGGUAUAUAUAUAUAUAUAUAUAUAUAUAUAUAUAUAUAUCUACCAUAUAUUUAUAUAUUUGGAAGAAAUCCUAUUCUUUUGUUGACUUUGUAACUAAAAGAUCUAUCUUCCUAUAUAUCAUGAACAGAAUAAUUCUGAAGCCUCCCCUUAGAUUUAUGAGUCAUUUAAUGAUAUUGUCUCUCCAGUUCAGGUUUUUCUUAAAUCAAUAAAGUUUUCAAAAAUAAUUGAUUCAGCCAAGAGGAACCAGGAGAGUGCUUUACAAAGGAUGCUACAUACAGGAACUUUGUUGAAUAUCAGAACCAAUUCUCUGGAUCCAUGUGUGAUUCAACUUUGUAAUAAUACCAGUGUCUGGAACAGGCUAAGCCAGCAGUAAAUCCUAAAUGAACAUCAAACAAAAUGAAACAAGUUACAUAAGAAAUCCUAAUUCUACAAUGUCAACACUGGGGUUGAAGCCCCAGGGGCUAUUGAUUAUGUUUUUCAAAUUUAAAUCUUUGAAUAAAGUGAGACACUAAUGAAAAUUAUUCAAUAUUUUAAUAAUUUUGUAAAAUAGCCUAGAAGUGGCAACACUAGUAAUAACCAACAUUUUUUGGCAUUUAAUAUGUACUGGACAUUAAAUACAUGUGAGUCUUUCACAUAUAUGUUUCACAACAUUAUGAGGCAAGUGUUUUACACCCCAUUUUACAGAUGCUGUAACUAAGGGACAGAGGUAAAGUAAACUGCCCAAUACUCAUGUGGAUAUUCACAUCGCAAACAGCAAAGGCUUUGUGUGACUCAGAUGCCCCUUGCCUCUUGCAUCAUCCAUACAACCUACGUGACAUUCCACAGAUGUUUAUAUGACUCCAGAGCCCAUUCUAUAUCUAGGCUAAACUUCCUGACCUCUAGCAAAGCUGGACAAAGAGGCCCUCUGAUAGGACUCAUAUGUGAACUCCACCAAUGGUCCAGAUUCUUAUGUGGUUCAAGGUAACAGGAAUGUCUCUAAGAUUAUCAAUCCCAGAAUACAAAUUAACCAAUAUUUCAGUUUUCCAUUGGGUCACUGGAAAUAAUUCUUGAUUGUCUUCUCCUUCAUUAAGAUAAUCCCAGCUUUGAAAACAUUGUCAAAAGGGUGGUAGCCAUAGUAGAGAAUAAAGUAAACUGAAAUGAAUUACCAGAACUUUAUUAAAGCUGAGAGUUACAUGACCAAUUUUAAGGGAUAAAGAAAAAUGAAAAAUAAGCAACUCAAAAAUAAGAUGAGUUACCCAACCUACACAAUAUUACAUCAGUGAAAAAACGGCAGCAGUGUUAAAAAGAGAGACAGCAUUUCCAAGGCUACCUGAUGAGUCUUUGAAAGAGAAGUCCAGCUGGCUCUAACCUUUUAAAAAGUGAGAUUUUUUUUCCCUAAGAUGUUGCUAACAAGCCUAUAGGACAGCUUCCCCAUCAAAGGUGAACUCUAAAGAGCAACCUGACUCUAAGAAUAUCCUCUAAUAUCUAGGAGGAAUACUGUGGUUCUGUUUGCUCACUAACCCCACAAUGUAGUUCUUGCCAGUGGUGGCUAUAGAAUUUCUCUGAAAUGUAUUUUCUUGGAAUGAGAUGAAGUAACUCCAAAUUAUAUUUGCCUGCCCCAUUCCAGGGGCUAAAGUAUUCUUGACACCUUCUAUCAGUGUUUCUCAGGCUUGUGGAGAAGAGAGAUGGGUGUUGAAUAAUGAUACCAUGGAAAGCCCUCAGGUGGACCACAGUCACUUGUGGCUCGUGGCUACUCAGCAAGGGUAGGGGUAAGAAUUGCUUUUCCCCAGAGAUUUUGGAAAGGACGAGUGUGGUACAGGUAAAGAAGGUGGUGAGGGGGGUUUUACACUAAGAAGGUUAGAAAUAAAGACACAGCAGUGACAAAGCAUCUCCAAGGAAUAGGAAAUAAACAUGGUUGUGUAAAAUGCAGAUAGUGAGUGGUGGAUAGGUAGGACAGAGUCUAUAAAUUAGCCAGAUAUUCUGCUGCAGCUAUUCAUCAGGUGGUGAACCAGCCCUUCACGAACCAUGAACACAGCUUUGCUCUUUUGCUUGUGUGUUCCUUCCUGUAUCCUGACGGUGGUGGUGGCGGUGGUGGGGUGGUGGGGUGUGUAUUUGAACAUUCCUUCUCUCUGAGUGGCUAGCUCCUUGAGGACCAGCCACAUGAGUCAGGGGACAUUUCAGUCUGAGAAUCAUCCCUGGAGUUAGGGGCGGUGCAAAAGUGGCACCCGUAAGAGAACACCAUAUGGAGAAGUUGAAAUCAGUUAGAAAACAUCUUUUAAGCAAGUUGCUGAGUAAAAAAUGAAAACAUAACAAUGCUAAUUAAAGAAUGUUUUCCAGAGAGGAUAAAUGUUGGAUUCAAAAAGAAAAAGAGAACUGGCACCAAGGAGCCCUUAUAGGGUAAUGGAACUAAGAAGCCUCACACUGCACGUGCAUGCUGGAGGUAUUUGAGCAAUGGAUUAGGACUGUGUCAGAAUCAGUGAGACACUAAUGAAAAUUAUUCAAUAUGAGUGACUUGAGAAGGUGAAGGCUGAUCCAACUCUCUUUACAGGAAGUAGGUGAGUGUAAACCACAAUAAGUAAAUAAGUUAUGAUAAUGCUGGAAGAUCCCUAUCCCUUGGCAGGAUGUAAAUAAUCGUUUUCAAUCCAGGCCACUCCAAAGUUCUUGAGAAGGGGAAAAUUCUUAUUAAAAUGAUGUUUGAGGAAAAAUUUUUUGGUAGUGAUUUAUGUCUCCCCACAGAAUGGAGAUACUGGAUUCAAAAGUAAAAGGGACCGAUGAUCCCCUUUUGAUGACCUUGUCUCUGAAGUAGCCAAUUCUGUAUCAAAACCUGAGGAGAGAGAAUAAAUAGACCAGAGGUUUGGGUUCUAGCCUUGAUUUUCGAUGGGCUACGAUUCCUCCUUUCCAGUCUAACAACGUAGAUCUUCUCUUUUUAAACCUUUUUUGUCUCUACUUUUGUAUAUUAUCUGGGACAAGUCACAUCAGCUCUCUGGGUAUCAGAUUCUUCAACUGUAACACAAGCAGGUACAACCAGGAUUAUCACUGAGGAUACUUUUUCAAAUUUAGAAUGAAACUUCAAAUACAAGUAAAUCACAAUCCUAGACACUUCUUCCAUGAGCCCAAGAGAGUGAUUAGUUCAGGGUUGAUUUUAUAAUGUAUGCUUUUUCACAUUUUAACAUCUCUGUUCAAUGUCCUAUAACUGAUGGUACUUUACAAUCAUAAUUUUUUCUUUCUUAGCAGCUCAUAACAUAAUGAUAUGUUGUACAUUUGAAUUUUCUUCUAACUCUCAAAUACAGUUAAGCUCAGAGUAUAUAUACAGGCAGAUCUGUCAAACAUCCAGCGUCACAUUAUUUAGAUGAAUAAGGAGCAGAGAUGGACUAGGACAAAGAGUGUCCAAAGUGGUUGUCACUUGUUUCAUUAAUUGUCGUUUCAGAAAAUUCUCGUGUACUGGAAGAUAAUUCCUCCACAUCUCCUGCUCCACGUCUAUCUUCAUAAUUGACUCUUCCAAAGAAGGCUCAGAGUCCUCAGGGAUUUAUUGGUGAAAGCUUUUAUUAUACUAUUAAUUGCUAUUGUAUUUAUCAUCAUAAUUAUAAUUGAUCCAGGCCAAUGCUUUUCAAAGUGUAGACUAAAACUUAUUUGUGGAUUGAACAAUCAAUACAAUGAGUCACCAUAGUGUUUGAGCAAAUAAAGUAACACAAACUAAAAUAGAAACUCUCAGUAUCCCAUAGAGUGAGAGCAUCAUUUCCUGAGACAUCAUUUCGGAUGUAUUUACUUAUGUAUAUACAUGCAGAUAUUCACACAUGGGAGUACUGGUUUGUGGUUUAAAUUGUAUUUCCAUUGCGGGUUGUGGUCAAAAAGAGAUGCAAAAAUGCCAUUCUAGAGCCUGCUUUGGAGGUGGCUGUGGCUAUUGCAAAUAGCUUUUAGAGGGAGCAAAAACAUAGAGAGAUACUGAAUUUUGAGCAGUAGUAUUUGAACAGAUAAAGUAAUGUAAACUAAAAUACAGUAAUUGAGCAGUGUCUUUGGUCCUCAUGAACGAUUUGGUCCGUUACCACACCAAACACAUUCUGGCAAAAUAAAGGGGAAUAAGUUGAGCAUCCCUAAUCCAAAAUUCCAAACUCCUAAAUGUUGAAUUCUUUGAUCACCAACAUGAUACCACAAGUGUGUGACAGGUUGUGGUCAAAUACAAGCACAUUAAAAAUAUUGUAUAAAAUUAUCUUCAGUCUAUGAGUAUAAGGUGUAAAGGAGACAUAAAUGAAUUCUGUGUUUAAAUGCAGGUCCCAUUGUGAGAAUAUUUUAUUAUGUAUAUCAAAAUAUUCCAAAAUUCAAAACUAAAACAUUUCUGUUCCCAAGCAUUUUGAAUAAAGGAUACUUGGCCUAUACUUUGGAUGGGCUUGAACCCUUAUAAAUAAUCUUUUGUGAAUCUGUUCUAUCUACAGGGGCUGUCUAUUAUCUAGGUUCAAGAGUGUUCUUAUUUGAUGCCCCCUGAAUAUCUAAUUUAACGAAUAAAUCAAUAGAAAUUUAUAGCAAAAAAUUAAUUGACUUCUGACAGUUGGUGAUACAAUUUGUUUUGUAAGAAAAUCCCUGGGGAGGUUCUACUUUGAAAUUUUGACUCAAAUGUUUUAAUAUCUUUUAGGUAGAACACUCACUAAAGGAAAGUGUCAUUGAGGAAGUGGAGAUUGUUAAAUAUCUUUCCUUCCAAAUUGCUCAGAAUGAUAAACAGUCAGGCCCCCUUGCUGGCCUAUCGUCUCAUUCCAUGUUUCCUACACUGACUGUCUGAGCUUCUUCUUUCACUUCUAUUUCAAGCAUCCUUCCUGUACGUCAGAGCAGGGGGUUCCUACAAAGGGGGAAAUGAAACCAGCAGCUGUGAUAAUGAAAGUGGGAAAGUUUUUUUUCCACUAUAACCACUGUAGGUAGGGGAAUCAGUGGCUUAACCAGAGGAUAUCCGUGGCCCUCAGCUUUUCAGAUCAACAUUCUUCUGACUCGCUUUGAGAUUCUGUCCAGGUGUAGGGCCCUGUGAUUCUCUGGGAUCUCUUCAUGCAGCCAUUUCCUUUGAUAAAUGAAGAAACUAAAUCCUAGGCAAGUCAGAUUCUAUCCCAAAGUCAGAAAGUCCAUGACUGGCAGAUGGGAGGUGACUAAAAUGUCCCAUAGAAGAUGGGUUACAUUAAUUUAAUUAACUGCACUUAGACCCUUUCUCAGGGAGACUUUAAAUCUUUGGGAUAGGCCUCAUACCUGACUAAGAUACUUUAAAUCUAUUAUUGAGUUUAUAAGUCUAAGUUUAUAUGUAUCUCCUCUUAGUAGAAUUUAUGGUAGAGGGUUAGAACUAAUAAAUUCUAAUUAAUUUUAUGAAUUAUUUACUCUUGUUUUAAAUUCCUUGCAAUUGUUCGGCAUACUCUAGAGCAGAGUGGGGGGAAAAGCUGUGUUUUCUUUCUCAAGAUGUUUGUGAGAAAUAUUAGUAGUGAGCAGAUUUCCUCCAUGUGGACAUUCUACACAGUAAUUUUCUCUAUCCAUUUGAGUACUGAAAAGUAAUAUCCUCUCCUGUUACCAAGGGCAACACAGAGCACCUGGUUUAAGUGUAGGACUGAGUCACUGAUACUUUAAAAGAAAUUAAAGUGCUCUAUUUAUAAGUUGGAGAAUAUAGGAGAUUUAGAAAGGGAGUGGCCUUCAAAAAAAUCAUUAUUUUGAAUGAGAAAAGGAAGACAGAAUUUAAAAUAAGCAAGAUGAGCAAGACAGAAAAUACUUUCUGACAUGUGAGGGAGCAAACAGCCUCAGAUGUCUUUGAUUAGUGUGUUUUCACAGAGUUGGCUGUCAAGAAACUCUCUAUCCAAAUGAAUUCUGUUUUUCAGUUCAUAGCUCAGUAAAAUAUGUUUUGUUAGAAAAAAAAAGAAUUUAUCUUGAAUAGCAUGGUUAAAACUGACAAAAUAAAAUAUUUGAAAAAAAUUAAAGCAAUCUGAUAAUGGAAUAAUUAUAUUCAAAAUACCAAAAUAUAUACAAUAAUGAUAAAGAUGCACAUCAAAGUUCACUCCUUCAAUCAUUAUGCAAUAAUUUAACUGUUAGUGAAAAUUAAUAAAAUAUAUUUUUGAUAUAUUGAACAGAGAGAUUAUAAACUUACAUAUGUGAAAUUAGUCAUUAGAGUUCUAUAGUUCUUCUUUCUCAUUACUCUUCUUUAAAGAAAAUCAGCAGUCAUCUUAAUAGUGGUUCCUGAAAAAUCUUAAUAUUAAUAGGGGGAAUCUUUGGUGAAAUUUUGGAGGGGUGUGUGUGUGUGUGUUUUCUGUUUUCUUUAUUUUUAAGGUCUUAUAAAAUCACUGUGAAUUAGUAAUAAAUGUGUUUUGAUAUGGGGGGAGGAUUUACCCUUCCUUCCCAUAGAUAUUUACUCUAUCUUGUUUAUAGGCAAUAACAUUUUAACAAUUGGCUAGAAUUUUCUUAAUUUAUGUUGAAAUCACUUCAUUUUUCCUGAAUGUACCUGACAGUUUUGAUUAACAAGAUUAUAGAUGAGAAUAUAAAAUAAAACAAAAAUGGUUGUAAGCAUCCAAAUGAUGUUACAAAGUUCACCCCCUAAAACCAACAGACCGACCAAUUCGACACACUGAAGGUCAGGUGUCCUGCUUAUGUACUAACUCAGCUCCAUUUCCUGUUGCCUCAUACAAACUUUUGUUCACACAGCUAUUUGACUUCUAAAUCCUUAGUAGAUUAGAGACAAAUUAGAAGGAGAGUUUAGGUGGGUAGAGCAGCUGCUGAUAAUGUGGUGACAAGGGACAGAAAAGUGUAAGAAGAAAAUUCAAGAGAAAACUUUUAAACAUCCAGUUGAUCUAGGAAUUGCGCAUGGGAGCAAGCAAGUUCAGAGCCAGGACCCAGCUUAUCACUGUGGAACUGCAGAGACCAUAACUUAAUUUUAACAAUAGUUAAAACUCAGUAAUAAAGGAAAGGCAAGGAUACAACUAGAGUGUACUUUUUUAAGAAAGCAAAACAUGUUAUUUAAUACAAUUUCCAAGUGAAAUAAUAAAAAUAUUCUAGUCUUCAAGGGAUAAAGUUAUCAAGUUAUUGGAUGACUCAUCCCCAGAUGUUUCAGAACAACUUAUUUUUAUUGUAAUUUUUUAAGCUUUUGCUCACUUUUCUCAUCACUUGGAAACAGUUGCUUCUUUGCAAGUAUUAGGCCAACAUUAGGGCUAUUCCAUUAAUAGUUCUGCCAUAGACUCAUACCACACAGACAGUUAAAGACAAGAUUGUAACUGAAUUGUCCUAUUCUUGUUUUCCAUGGAUAUUCAUCCCAGUAUCCACUGUUGGCUAAUAAAUAUCUUGCAUUGUUUCUGUACAUCUAGUGCUGUUGCUGCCUUGUGGAACUUGCUGGUGUAUUCUUUAUGGCAAAGAGCAGAUCAUGGUUAAGAAUUAUCUGGUUGCAGAGCUUAAUCUUAAAAGUUAAAAUUGGGGGACCUAGCAUCUGGGAGUUGAAAACAAUACUGACUAACUGCUGACACAGAACCCCCGAAAUCUCUAUUAUUGCAGAAAACAAAUCAGAAACAAACUUAACAAAAUCCAGUUGGUUGUCAAUGAACCUUUAUUUAUUUAUAUGUGGUGCUGAGAAUUGAAGCCAGUGUCUUACACAUGGGAGGCAUUCACUCUACCACUGAGCUACAACCCCAACCCCAGUUGGGGUUAUUCUUGACCGGUUUAAGUGCCCUUCUUCCUACCCUUGUUCCUUAAGUUUUUCUUCUGUGAAAGUUUCACUUUUGCUAAUGCCAAUCCCCUUUUACCCUUCCCUCUCAAAAUUUCCAUUUCCCUAAUAAGUCUGGAGGUUGUUCUGCUUACUCGUCGCCUCCCACAGCUCCUUGGCCAUGGUCCAGGGCUGGUGGGUGGAGCGCUGUUUGCCAGGGACUGUCUGGGUCAGAAGUGGCUGAGCUGAUGCUCAGCUGGAGAGACAGACACCCAGUCUCCAGCUGCAUGGCUAAGAGAUAAAGGCCUCUUUCAGCGCCCCCUCUCUUCCUCCUCCUAGAUGGAUAAGGGAUCACAGCAGUUUCUUUCUCCAUUUCUGUUCUUUGCCCACCCAUCACAGUCCGCUGUCCCCUUCUCUGUACUGUCAGCUUUCCAGAUGGAGUACAGGGACAGAGAAUUGGGGAGACCCAUCAUUUGUGCCUGGAAACUACACAGGACCUAAAUAUAAAAAGGAAGUGUCCCAUCCAAGCCAAAAUGUCCUCAGUGUCCUCUUGUCAAAGUGUCAAUUUCCACUGAAUUUCUGUAGACAGAUUGUCAUUCCAUUGCUCUUGGAGACAAGGUCAGCAAUCCCUCAGUUAUUGCUGAGGAGGCUCUUUCUCUUCAGCAGACUGAUUUUUUUGUUUUCCACACUGUUCCCCUUGUUCCAAUUUCUAUUUUUCUUUCCCCUUUCGCCGCCUGCUCUCUGCUGUACCAACUCAGCCUCCUGCACUCCCGGGGCACUUUCCCAGCCCCUCUGCACCCUUUCCCAUUGGCCCGCACCUGCCGCACGCCCCUCCCACCGCCACCCAUCCCCCUCCCCAUCUCAGUCUUUUCCCCCUUGUUCCUUUAGGUAGUUUCUGCCCAUGAUCCUUAUCUUUUCUGUCCUUCGUGUUCUGUUUGUCUUUCUUUUCCUUUUCCAAUAAACUGAACCCAGCAAGAAGAAAGGACAUUUCCUGCCUGUGAAGUUUUGCCAUUGCACUUUAACAAAAAUAAGCACUGCCAGUAAAAUUGCUUAAUACUAAUGAAAAAUAAAUGUUUGCAGAAAGUUAGGAGGCAGGACAAAAAGUACUUCCUUGCUAGGGCUAAAGUUAAAAUGAGAAGCUCUUAUUAACUUAAAAGAAGAUAAUUUUUUAUAAUAAAUAAUGAGCCAAAGUUGGAAAACUCAGUGGUUAAUAUUCCUAAGGGUCUAUGUUCAGUUCUGUCCUAUUGAGUACUUUUACCUAAUAUUUAAAAGUCUGUCACUCUGUGAAUGAUUUUUGCAUUUUAAAAACUAUUAAUUUUCUUAAUAAAAUAAAUCCAUAGUAAAAAUUUUUAAAUAUAAAAUGAUAUAGAAUAACGAGGGGGAGGGAAGAAUAGAGGAACUUUGGAUUGGGCAGCCAGAGGAGGUUGAGGUGGGCAGGAGGUGGUGGGAAAGAUGUUUGAAUGAGAGGGACACUAUUACCCUAAGUACAGGGUAUGACUGCAGGAAUGGUGUGAAUCUACAUCUUGUACAACCAGAGAAAUGGAAAGUUCUGCUCCACUUGUGUAAAAAAUUAAAUUAAAAAUUAAAAAAAUACCCCAAAUGAUAGAAAGUUGUUCUCCCAUCUACCCAGAUUCUAAGCCACUUUCUCAGAUGCAACCAAAAUGAAUUCAUAAUCAUAACAUGGAUCUGUAUAGAUACAUCAAUAAUAACAUAUGUGUAUAUACAUAAUUCUAUCUUUCUAUAUUUAUUCAUCCCUUUAUUUGGAAUAUAUUUGUAUGUUUGUAUAAAUAUGUCAAAACAUACUCUACUGUCAUGUAUAACUAAAAGAACAAAAAUAAAUAAAUAAAUGGAAGCAUACUAUACAUAUUAUAAUGCAACUUGUUUCAUUCACUUAAUAUAAAAUGGAGUAAAUUCUAGAUCAGCAUCAAAAAUCUACAUUGUUCUUUUCCACUGCUACAUUAGUUCCAUUUUAUUUAAUUUAUCAUAUCUGAGCAAUUCAAAGACUUUUUGAACUUUAGAAGCUUUACAUUCUUAAAAAUAACUGCAGACCUCAAACAAUUCUUUAAUUAGAAAUUAAUCCCCAAAUAUGUUUAAAAUAAAAUAUAUUUUAAUUAUAUCCUUUUAAUCAAUUUAUAAGCCCAUUUCACAUUAACAUAAACAACAUAUUUUGUGAAACUUAAAAUCAAUUAUAUUUUCAAAGAUAAAAAGAUUUAAUGAGAAAAAAAAUUGGCAUUGCUUUAUAAAAUUUGCAGAUCUCUUUAUAAUGUUUGGCCUAAUUGGACACAAAUGGAUUCUCAUAUUUGCUUUUUAAUGCAAUCUGUUACAAAAUAUUGUUUUGGUUGAAAUAUACACAGAAAAUCUGGUUUCACAUAGCUAUGUUGUUGGGGAAAAAGGAGUAUUUUAAUAAUCUUUUCAGAUAAUUGUAAAUGCUUUUCUCUUUCUCUCUUUCUCUUUCAUUGUUCUGGGGAUUGAACCCAAGGCCUCAUACAUGCUGAGCACUCUACAUGUAAUCUGGCUAUGUACCCAGCCCUCUUUUCUAAAACUUAUGCACCUCAGAGCAUUAAUCUCCAGACUAUAUAAAGAACCAAAACAAAACAACAACAAAAAAAACCUUAACACCAAAAAGCAAAAAGUUAAAAAAAAAAAAUCAAUAAAUGGGAAAGGAAAUCAACAUUUAUAGCAGAUCAAUUUAUAAUAGCUAAGCUCUGGAACAAACCUAAGUGCCCUUCAACAGAUGAAAGUAUAAAUAAAAGAUGGUCUAUAUACACAGUGGAAUACUACUCAGUCAUAAAAAGGAUGAACUUAUGACAUUUGCUAGUAAAUGGAUGGAUCUGGAGUGUCAUGCUAAGUAAUAAGCCAAUCCCCCAAAGCCAUGAACUUGACAAGAGCCAGAAAGAACAUUUUAAAUGUUCUCUCUGAUAUGUGGAUUCUAACAGACAAUAAGAGAGAAGGGAAAGAAUAGAAGUUCAGUAGAUUAAACAGAGGGGAAUGAAGGGAAGGGAGAGGGGGAACAGGAAUAGGAAAGACAGUGGAGUGACUGACAUAACCUUCCCAUGUACAUAUGUGAAUACACCACAGUGAAUCGCCACAUCAUGUACAACCACAAAACUUGGAUCCUAAUUAGAAUAAGAUAUACUCCAUGUUUGUAUAAAUAUGUCAAAACAUACUCUGCUGUCAUGUAUAACUAAAAAGAGCAAAAAUAAAUAAAUAAAAUCUAAUUUUGAGACAGGGUCUCACUACAAUGCUAAGCCUUGCCUCAAACUUGUGAUCCUCCUACCUCAGUCUCUGGAGUUGCUGAGAUUAUAGGUGUGCACUACCAAAUAUGGCCAAAGUGGUAAUUUCUUAAGGUUAGUUGCAACAUAGAGUCUGAAACCACAUCAAUAGACUUUUCCUAUUUUGUUAUAUUAAAAUCUGUUGGUCUAUCUUACUGUUUGAAUGAAGCAUGUACCCAUGCAUGAUUUUAUACCAUCAUGCAUUAGUCAUUUGAAAAAGAGUCUUCACUGAGGUAUAUGCAUAUCUCAACCGAGAUAUAUUUUAUUAUAUUGUAGAACAAAAUUAUAUUCAUUAGUAUUGUCAUUAAUCUUCCCAGAAAGUUUUCAAAUACUGGGAUCUUGUCAAGAUCAUGAGGGCAGACAUAAGCUUUCCAAAACUUGAACUUUCCCUUGAAAGCUCAAAUUUUACCAUUGUCAAGAAAUGUGGUCCUUUGUUUUCCUUGAAAUAACAUAUUCAUUUCAUCUAUUUUUGGGUAUCUGCCAUAUACUCAAUUCUGAAUAACUGUAGUUUGUCUGUCAGUCAUUUUUUUCUUCAAGAAAAAUGUUGUUCCAUUAGAGUUCCACGGCAACAAAAACAACUGCCUAAAGUGCUUUUUCUUGAGAUAACCCCCGCAGCUCAGCAUAUAACGGAAAUGCUUUCUGCAUGCUUCUCAUUUUGUUGCAUAGAAUAUUAAAAGACAAGUAUUCCAGGGCCAAGAUUGAAUGAAUUGGUCAUCUGGACUGCUUCAUCAAGGACAUUCUUAAGUAACACUGGCUUUUUAAAAUAAAUGAAACAGUGUGGUGGUGAAGAAUUUAAUGCCGACUCUCUGUGUGAUGUCAUUGCCUUGAUUCUUGCAGUCUUACCCACCACACUUUUGCACUAUCUGUGCAAAUGUUGAAACAAUGAAAAAGGUGAAUAAAGUCUUGGUAUUAUUAGGAAAAUAGCUUUGAUCUCCAUGCAAUUAAGCCUAGAGGUCUAGGAACCACAUUUUAAGUACUACUACCAUGACUUAUUUAACUAAUUCCACCCUUGUUAAUUGUUUCUGGUAUUUUUCUAAUACAAACUUUUACACAAUAAAUAUCCUCAAAUCAAUGUUUCUUGAUAUUUCAUUUUCUCUAUAUGUUAGAUGAUUUCAGCUUCAAGAUUAUUAGAAGACCUAGGAAGUCCUUUAUUUUUUUUCUCUCUCUCUCUCUCUCUCUCUCUCUCUCUCUCUCUCUCUCUCUCAUCACGACUACUAACAUAUAUUUGGUAAAAGGAAAGGCCAACCACCUCUUAUUGUGUAAAUAUCACCCUUGGGUAUAUGAAGAUGUCAGUUGAUCUGCAUUCAGAGAUUCAUAGAGAAGAAGAAAAAUACCCCCCCCCCCAAAAAAAAAAAACCCAGAAGAUAGAGGACUUUGAUCAGUAUUGUGCUAUAAUCCUCUUCAUAGGGAUACUUUGGAAAUUUUAGACACUACCAAAAAAUGGGAGUUGUUGAUUUAGAAAAUAUUUUAUUUUUGAACAAUUGAAUUACUACAUAAAAUAAAUUACUGAUGAUUAUCUAUUUAGUCGCUCAAAAUUACUUUUGAGGAACCUACUGUGUUCAUUCAGCAUAUGGUCCUAAUACUAAGCAUUGCAGACAGUAAAAAUGUAUUAGGGAACAAUCUUCACUGCAAGGACUUGACCAAAAGUGGUUUUAAAGCUUUUGCAAAGUCAGCUGUGAAGACCACAUCCACUCUCUCAGUUUUAGACCUAUGUAUUUACAUAGUGCAAAUAUGUGGUCUUUUAUCUCAUUAGUAACUAAGGUGCCUAUGUAGCCCUGGGCUUACACCGGUUGCCCUCAGCAUACUUGUUAGUAGUACCCUUUCACUCUCCAAAUGGAGAAAUACAUUACAUAGUUAUGUCUUAAUAGUGGACUUAAGAGUUUCUUCCAAGUCUCAUCCUUAGAUUUUUUAUAUAACCCACCAAAAGUCUUUGGUAGAAAAGCACUGUCUAUGUGCUUUGUAUGUUUUCUAUACAGAUUUCUAUACUUUCAAAAAUGCUAUGAGACUAUUAGAUCCUCGUUUUACAGAGAACAAACUGAAACCUAGAGAGUGCAAUGAUUUUCCUAAGGCUGUAGACAAAUAAAUGGCUAAAGUAGGAUUUUUAUGCUUUUACCUAUUUUCAAAAUUCAAGUUCUUUCCUCAGGUUUUCAAAUAGUGUUUCAUGGAACCAACAUCAAAAUCACCAGGGUGCUAAUUCUGAAGGCAGAUUAUGGGGCCUCACUCCAAACAUACUGAACCAGAAUCUCUCAGGACCUAGAUGUCCACACUUACCAGCAGUUCUAUAUGUGAUUCUCAUGCAUUGGGACGCUUAAAGACCAUUGCUUUCAAUUAUACCACUUCCAGAGCGCAGCACCAAUGAUAUCUUCAAAUAAAAUAUAUUUUUCAAAAAUUCAAAUAAAGCAUAAAUAGCAGAGAUCCUUCUUGAAUUUUGUUUUGUCUUGCUUUGUAUCUGGGAUUGAAUGCAGGGGCGCUUAAUCACUGAGACACUUCUCCAACCCCCUUUUUUUAUGAGAUGGGGAGUUGCUUAGGGCCUUGCUAAGUUGUUGAGGCUACCUUUCAAUUUGUGAUCAUCCUGCCUCAGCCUCCUGAGCCACUGGGAUUACAGGCCUCCACUACCAUACCUGCCAGACCCUACUUGUAAACUCUAAUUUUCUUAGAUAAUAAUGUGUAUCUGUUGGCAACUUUGCACAGUUUGUCUUUACUGAUGAUUAAAAUGACCAUUCAUUCUUCCUGUGAACUGCCUCCCUAAGAGAUUUUCCUAGACUCCUUGAAGGAUGAGGUAGAAGAUUUUCUGUGAAAAAGCCAUUUUGUAUGUUCAAUUGCAGUUUUGGCAAUGCUAACUAUGGUAAUAAAAAUAUUCACCCAAAUUUUGCAAAAGUCAUUGGAGUAAAUUAUUUUUCUUAUUAUUGACAAACUAUAAGUAGAAUCAACUUCUUUUGGCAUUCAAACCAAUAAAAUUGUUUAGCAGCUAAUACUGAAAAAAAUUUUGAGAUUUAUUCCUCUCUACCCACUGAAUACUUCCCAUUCAUAGAUUUUAUAUUUGGAGAGCAAUAAAGAUCAACUAAUUCCAUGUGAUGUGACUUGUAGAAUACAUUCCUGAUGCACAAUAUAAUGGAUUUUGAAAUGGAUUUUGACCCACCUUCUCAAGUUUGCCCUAAACAGAAUUAGUGGUUACCUUUUGCCGUCUCUCACCUGUAAAAAUAUCUCAAAUACUCCAGAUCUCUGAUUUUCUUGAAAAAUAUCCUUUACCUUUGUGUUGUGGAUGCAUUUCUAGAUUUCAUACAGGUUUAGUCUUGGCUAUGCUAGGAUAGGACUUUUUGCCUGGGAGAAAGACCGAGGUGAGAUUAUAUCACAUUCUCAGAAAGUUAUCUAGACAGGGGAGAAGUAUGGCUAGAUAGAAACCAGUGUUGAGACAAGGUGAAAACCUCAGUCUAAUCUGGAUCAGAUUCAGUGGUCAAAGUAUGAAGUACAGCUGGCUUAGAAUCCCAGCUACCUGGGAGGCUGAGAAAGGAGGAUCACAAAUUUGAGGCCAGUCUGGGCAACUUAGUGGGGUCCUAUGUCAAAAAAAAAAAGUUAAAAGGGCUGAGAAUGUUGCUCAGGAGAGUAGAACACCCCUGGGUUCAAUACCCAGAACCAUUAAAAAAAAAAAANUCUUUGUUUGUAUGUGGUGCUGAGGAUCGAACCCGGGCCGCGCUGAGCCACAUCCCCAUCCCCAAAGAUGAUUUUUUAAUAGUAAAAGAUGGGUUUAUUCUAAUGAUUUUAAUCUUCCUAUUUAGUUACCUCAGGUGAAUGUGGAAGAGUAGAAUAAAAGAAAGGAUGAUUUGGUUAAGACAUGAUCUUAAGGAAUCAACCAAAUUCAUUCUCCUGUGGUAGCUUUCAGCUCUAUGAUGUUGCAGACAAUUUGUAACUGACUUGUCCAGAAAGCUUGAAUGUUAAGAAAUUAUGUUUGGUCAAUAUCAAAUAUCCUAUAGUUAGCAUCAGAUGCUCAACAAUGAUUUGUCCAUAGUCAUAUAGUUGAAAGAAGGUAAACAAUAAAAACAACUUCAAAAUAUGAAAGAUGUGAUUACUUCUUGAUAAAGUUGUGAAGAUAAUAAGUUUAAAAAUGCUUUGAAAAAAUCUAUUAAGCAUCUCAGAACAAUGGGAAGAAGUAAACACAAUAGUAAUUCAUUUGGCUUUUAAUUAUUCAUUGCUUUCUUUACUAUUUAGAGCAAGAUACUAAGUCUUUUUCUGAAACCUUAGAAUUCUCAUUAUGUUUUUUAAUUCCUCAGCCCCACUUCUCUCCAUAAUCUCUUCCAAAUUUAUUAAAUUACCUGUUACAAAAGCAUUACAGUCUCUUCUCAAGAAAGUCUCUUACAAAAGUCUUUAAAUUGCAUCCAUGAAUUUGAAAUGCUUACUAAUGACAAAUAGGAAUGGCACUUGGUUAUUUGGGGGGGGGGGGCACUUGGUUAUUUAUAAGAGAAUUUGAUGCCUUUUCUUGGUUAAAAAAAUAAAACCUUUUCUGAUUAUGAAAGUAGUACUACUUCAGACUUCCUCAUUAUGGGUUAUGUGGAAAAUUCAGGGAAGAUCAAGAAGGAAGUAAAAAUUUCCACAAAGAUAACCUUGGUUGAUACUUUGGUAUAUUUCCUUCCUACUUACACACAUCUAUGUUAUAGAACUUAGAUUAUCCUAUGGAGCUUUCUACCCAGUAUAACCUUGCUUCACAUUUUAGCAUAACCAUUUUAUAAUAUCAUUAAAUAGAUUUCAGAAAUCUCAAUUUUCAUCACUAAUACCUUUAAAUUACUUUACCAACAACCAAUUCUGGACAUUUUUGUUGUGUCUAAUUUUGUCUUCAUAAACAAUGUUAAAACAAAUAACAAAGUACCUAUACAUAGAUCUUCUAUAAUACUUCAUAAUUAUUCUAGAAAUGAAUGGCAAAGAUUGAAAAUUUUAAAAUUGUACCCUGCAAUGCUUACUUGCAUUUCAGAAAGGUUGUUCAGUCUUUAUUUCUAUUAGCAACAUGUAAGAAUGCCAAUCUCACUAUCCCUCCAUCAGCACUGAAUAUUUUAAUUUUAAUCUUUGCUAAUUCAAUCUGUUAAAUCAUGAUAUCUCAGUGUUUUCAUUUGUAUUGUUUUCUAGUGGUGUUGAUUUUUCAUGUCUUCAUUUUUUUAUAUAUUUCUAUGUAUGUGCAACAUAUUCUUAUAUACUUGAACCAGUUUUCUAUUGGAAUUUUAGUUUUUUUUUUAACUGACCUCUUUUUACAUAUGUGACAGGGAGACAAGAAAAACAUAUUAAACCACAUAUUUAAUUGAAUGUUGAUAAUCCAUUCGUCUUUCCCCUUUUCUCUUUUCUGUUCCUCAUUUUUCCAGUCAUUAGGAAGAAUGUCAAGUCUGUAGUUCUGAUGAAUGGAGUGAGGUGUGAUAUGGGGGAAUCCAGGCUAAAUUGACAUAGAUAAGAAAAGACAUGGGAACUUCUUUUUUUUUUUAAAGAUGUGGAAAUAUGGAGAUACCUGUUUGAAGAAAAAGAAGUAAUGAAAAUAGCAAGAAGUUUGAGAGACUUGACAGGAGGGAAGAGAAAGAGAAAAGAAAAAUGUCAGAAUGUGCUACACUUUGGAAUCUGAUUGCUGAGGCUUUAAUGAGGACGGGCAGAGGGGAUUUUUAGUAAUGUUACUGCCUUAUGCAGAGAAACCUCAUGUUUUCUGAUAUCUCUGUCCCACCACAUAAAACAAAGCUAUCUUUAAUAAAGUAUGCACAGAGGUCAUGGAGUUGGAUUUGUUCUCUUUGGCUGUUUCCUUGGGAUAAGAUGGGCCCUAAGAGAAGAUUAAAACAGGACAGCUUUAUUAUUUAGGUUGAACUCAUAAAAUAAACAUAAAUAAACUUGUUAUGUUUUUAAAUCAAUAUUUCCCCCUGUUGGCUAUUUCAUUUUUUAGGGCUCUCAUAAAACUUUACAAAGAUGAUAUACACAUAAAUGUUUUUAACUUGACAUAAAGAUUCACUGGUUGAGAUUCAAAAUAUAGGUUUUCUUUUAUAUUACUUUACAACCAGAAUUUGUAUUAACUUUGUUGAGUUAGAUAUAGCAGCUUCUAAAAUUUAGACUUAAAAACAGCCCCCUCUUACCUGGGAAAGGAAUUUUCUUGAAUUAAAGACAGUAUGUAGUAUUAGACACAGGUAUUAAUGCAGGGAGUGUUGAAAGAGUCUUGUCCCUGGCUCCACCUGCCCCAGGUUAUUUGGAUCAAGGCAAUCAAUUAUCACAAUGAGAAAGUCUUCUCAUAUCAAUUGUACUAUAUUUUUUGACAUCUGAGUAAGUAUCUACAUUUGUAUGCCUCUGUCUCUCCAUGGGUAAAUCUACAUGGGGGUGGGUAUGUGUGUAUGUGUAUGUUUAGUGAAGUGACCAAUAUGGUCACCUUUCUUUUCUUCCAGUUUUUCUGUGGUGUCAGUGUUUACAUUUAACACUAAAUAAUUAUGGGAUGAAAGACUUUUGAUUAUAGGAUGAGAUGAAGAUCAAGGUUGAUUAUUUUUCUGCAAAUUAUCCAAUUUCUCUAGGAUCAUCAAUGGAAAGUUAAUUCCUUCCCAGUUAACAUGUGACAUAGAAUCCUCUGUGAGUCUGAAUAUUUACUUGCAAAGUAAAUACUAAAAUUUUUAGAAAUUCACCAUAUUAAAAUUUUAAGAAAUUAAUUCUUAUGUUUAUUAGUUUAUUCUCAUGGGCUUUUCUAUACAGAGAGGUAUACUUAUAAAUAGAAAUAAAAUAUCAGAAAGAAGAUAUAAACGAUUCUAUCUCUUGCAUUUUGAUCAGAAGGUUUUCUUUUUUUUUCAAUGGGUACAUUGAAAAGUAUAAUUUUAAUAUUUAAUUUUUAAUAUUAAAAUUAUAAGUAAUAGUGACAUCAUUAUGUUAUAUUUGUACAUGCAUGUAAAAUAAUUAGGUCAAUCUCAUUCCCUAGGACUGCCCCUUUUCUUCUCCUCCUCCCUCUCCAUGAUCUGCUUGCUCUAUUCCACUAAUCUCCCUUCCACUAUUAUUUUGGUGAGUGCCUUAUUAUCAUAUAUGUAAGCAGGGUUCAUUGUGGUAUAGUCCCACAUGGAGUUAGCAUUCAUUGGUGGAUCUCAUUCCCCAGGACUUCCUUGUGCCCUUCCUUCCUUGCUUUCCCCACUUCUCUCUACUCUGUUACACUCCCUUGAUAAGAAGAUUUUCAAGGAAAGUUUUGUAUGAUAUUGAAAAUCAACAAUCAGCUCAUAGCUAACUGUGGAUCACCAGAGAAAUUCCUAUUUAAGUGUGAAACAAGGAUGUUGAUUAAGGCCACUUUUAUUACAGACACAUCACAAAUGUCUUUUAAUCUUCUGAUUGAUUUAGGACAACAGCUGGGCACAGAGAUGCAUGCCUGAGGCCGAGGCAGGAAGAUGGAGAGUUCAAAGCCAGUCUCAGCAAAAAUGAGGCACUAAGCUACUCAGUGAGUUAGGGUUAGGGUUAGGGUUAGGGUUAGGGUGUCUCUAAAUAAAAUACAAAAUCAGGCUGGGAACAUAGCUCAGUGGUCGAGUGCCUCUGAGUUCAAUCCCUGGUAACAAAACAAACAAACAAAACAAAAACAUCACUAACAACAUCACUAACACAGCAUACAUUUAACUUUUAUGAAAUACAUCAUACUCAAUAGUACUCUAUUGUAGAUGAGGAAAUGAAAAUUCCGUGGUGAGGAGCUUGUCCAGGGUCAAGUAGAUAUAGGAUCUGAACCCUGUUAUCUCUCAGUUACCUUCCAGUUGAUUCAGUUCACUAGACCUUAUUGCUUAUUUGACCUUCCAGCAAAAGUAAAGCAUUCCUUCCAUUUGUAAACAGCUUGAAAUUCUAUAAAAUGAUUUCAUGUAGUUGGUCUUGCAUUCUUCAGGAUUAACUUUUGAGGGAAGUAGGUCCAUAAUCAUACUUAAAUAAUCACAAAUAAAUAUUAAAAUGUGAAGUCCCUUAUCUCUUAGGUGGUUUAGCUGCAUCAAAGUGUCUGCCUGUCAUGAAUUUCCCUGAAAAGAGAUAUGAUAAAGGAAAAAAAAACACACACUCACACACACACAGAGGCUGCUUUACAUUCAGAGGUGUCCUCAAUACUUUAAAUAAAUUAAUUAAAGCUAUGUAUUUUCUCUCUCAUUUGUAUUUGAUAAUAUUGUGUUAGUAUAAUUUUGUGAGGACUAGUGUGAAUUUAGGGAGAAAGAGAGGAGGAAGACCAAUUGCCUUAUUAGGUUGGGAAAGAGGAGCGACAGGAACAUUUUCAAGUUACCUCAUGAAUAAAAUUUGUGCUAUGGAAGAUGGAAGAUGGUGGACUUUCUUUUCCAAACAAUAUUCUAAACUUCAGAGAGCAGCAUUUUGCAACAAAAUGAAACUUAGACUCUUCAUAAUUUGCUGAAGUUUUUACCAAGUGCCGGUGCCCAUCUAUGAGUGGUACUUUUUCUUCUGUUGUUAUAAAGGAUAGUAAUGACAUUUUAUAUUCUUUCAAUCUUUCUAUUAGAAAGAAAAUAGAUUCAGAGUAGGUGUACAUGUUGUUCCCGUGUACCUAACCUGUUCCUCUGAACUUGACAGUGACCUUUACCCCAGAUUUUCCUGUUCUGUGACUAAGAUCAAAUUAGGGUGGGGCUAUGUCUGCCCUUUUCUGAAUUAUAAUGGCAUGGGGGAGAUGAAAAAUACCCAAUGUGCUUUCAUAUUUUAAUGGGUACAGUUAGGAAAACUGUUCAAUGGAUUUGGGGAGGUGGGUGGGAGAAAGGCAGGCAGGAUUUCUCCAUGCUAACUCCUAUUAAGUUGGUGUGUGUGUGUGUGUGAGUGUACUAUCACUUCUGGCAAGCAAAAGGAUUCUUGAAAGACUGUUGGAUCUUUUUUGAAAGAUGAGAAACACACUCACCUGUCCAAACCCAAAGAAUGGACUAAGGAAUUGUAACAAAAGCAUUUUACUGCUAGUCUGGAAAGAUCAGCGGGCACACCCCAGAGCAGUUACCAUCAGCGUUUUAUUUCCUAGUGAGCACGGUCGGUCCCUCCCCCAGUUCCUCAAUGACUAAGUAAAUGGGGUGUACAGUCUUUCCAGAGGUCACCUAGGUUUUACUGUCUCCUAUUGGGUUUUUAAAAAGAAAUGUACCUUUGUUGUCCCCCACCUCCUGUUUUUCUCUUGUGGCCCAAAGGCCUUCUUGAGUUAGUGCAAUCUUGCAGUUCAUUUCUGUUGGCCAGCGCCCGCCCCCCCCCCCCCCCCCCCCCCCGUUUAUCAAGGGGCUGCGAAUUUGAAUUCGUCACACUCUGGUAUUAACACUUUUUAACUUUUCAUUCUGCUUUCCCUUCCAGCUGCCUUUCUUAAAAUUACUCCCAAGUAAUUUUACAUUUAAAGCAAAAUACUAUAUUCUGAAAAUAGACCACCAGACUUUCUAUUUUUCACAAUUUGGGCAACUGCAGGUGUUAAAAUAAUUUUAAUCAACUUUGUUGUCAUAGUCUUUAUACAGUGUAUCCAUCCUAUGAAAUAUUAUGUAGCCAUUAAAAAUAUGUGUUUAAAACAUGUGAUAAACUGGAGGAAUAUUUUAUAAUGGUCAAUAAAAAUUUCCAACUCAAAUUUAAAUUGUUUAAAGUCAGGUCUCUUUGUGGCAAUAACAUUGACCCAGAUCAAAUAAACAGUCCUUUAUUCUAAGGGGGGCGGGCGCUGGCCAACAGAAAUGAACUGCAAGAUUGCACUAACUCAAGAAGGCCUUUGGGCCACAAGAGAAAAACAGGAGGUGGGGGACAACAAAGGUACAUUUCUUUUUAAAAACCCAAUAGGAGACAGUAAAACCUAGGUGACCUCUGGAAAGACUGUACACCCCAUUUACUUAGUCAUUGAGGAACUGGGGGAGGGACCGACCGUGCUCACUAGGAAAUAAAACGCUGAUGGUAACUGCUCUGGGGUGUGCCCGCUGAUCUUUCCAGACUAGCAGUAAAAUGCUUUUGUUACAAUUCCUUAGUCCAUUCUUUGGGUUUGGACAGGUGAGUGUGUUUCUCAUCUUUCAAAAAAGAUCCAACAGUCUUUCAAGAAUCCUUUUGCUUGCCAGAAGUGAUAGUACACUCACACACACACACACACCAACUUAAUAGGAGUUAGCAUGGAGAAAUCCUGCCUGCCUUUCUCCCACCCACCUCCCCAAAUCCAUUGAACAGUUUUCCUAACUGUACCCAUUAAAAUAUGAAAGCACAUUGGGUAUUUUUCAUCUCCCCCAUGCCAUUAUAAUUCAGAAAAGGGCAGACAUAGCCCCACCCUAAUUUGAUCUUAGUCACAGAACAGGAAAAUCUGGGGUAAAGGUCACUGUCAAGUUCAGAGGAACAGGUUAGGUACACGGGAACAACAUGUACACCUACUCUGAAUCUAUUUUCUUUCUAAUAGAAAGAUUGAAAGAAUAUAAAAUGUCAUUACUAUCCUUUAUAACAACAGAAGAAAAAGUACCACUCAUAGAUGGGCACCGGCACUUGGUAAAAACUUCAGCAAAUUAUGAAGAGUCUAAGUUUCAUUUUGUUGCAAAAUGCUGCUCUCUGAAGUUUAGAAUAUUGUUUGGAAAAGAAAGUCCACCAUCUUCCAUCUUCCAUAGCACAAAUUUUAUUCAUGAGGUAACUUGAAAAUGUUCCUGUCGCUCCUCUUUCCCAACCUAAUAAGGCAAUUGGUCUUCCUCCUCUCUUUCUCCCUAAAUUCACACUAGUCCUCACAAAAUUAUACUAACACAAUAUUAUCAAAUACAAAUGAGAGAGAAAAUACAUAGCUUUAAUUAAUUUAUUUAAAGUAUUGAGGACACCUCUGAAUGUAAAGCAGCCUCUGUGUGUGUGUGAGUGUGUGUUUUUUUUUCCUUUAUCAUAUCUCUUUUCAGGGAAAUUCAUGACAGGCAGACACUUUGAUGCAGCUAAACCACCUAAGAGAUAAGGGACUUCACAUUUUAAUAUUUAUUUGUGAUUAUUUAAGUAUGAUUAUGGACCUACUUCCCUCAAAAGUUAAUCCUGAAGAAUGCAAGACCAACUACAUGAAAUCAUUUUAUAGAAUUUCAAGCUGUUUACAAAUGGAAGGAAUGCUUUACUUUUGCUGGAAGGUCAAAUAAGCAAUAAGGUCUAGUGAACUGAAUCAACUGGAAGGUAACUGAGAGAUAACAGGGUUCAGAUCCUAUAUCUACUUGACCCUGGACAAGCUCCUCACCACGGAAUUUUCAUUUCCUCAUCUACAAUAGAGUACUAUUGAGUAUGAUGUAUUUCAUAAAAGUUAAAUGUAUGCUGUGUUAGUGAUGUUGUUAGUGAUGUUUUUGUUUUGUUUGUUUGUUUUGUUACCAGGGAUUGAACUCAGAGGCACUCGACCACUGAGCUAUGUUCCCAGCCUGAUUUUGUAUUUUAUUUAGAGACACCCUAACCCUAACCCUAACCCUAACCCUAACUCACUGAGUAGCUUAGUGCCUCAUUUUUGCUGAGACUGGCUUUGAACUCUCCAUCUUCCUGCCUCGGCCUCAGGCAUGCAUCUCUGUGCCCAGCUGUUGUCCUAAAUCAAUCAGAAGAUUAAAAGACAUUUGUGAUGUGUCUGUAAUAAAAGUGGCCUUAAUCAACAUCCUUGUUUCACACUUAAAUAGGAAUUUCUCUGGUGAUCCACAGUUAGCUAUGAGCUGAUUGUUGAUUUUCAAUAUCAUACAAAACUUUCCUUGAAAAUCUUCUUAUCAAGGGAGUGUAACAGAGUAGAGAGAAGUGGGGAAAGCAAGGAAGGAAGGGCACAAGGAAGUCCUGGGGAAUGAGAUCCACCAAUGAAUGCUAACUCCAUGUGGGACUAUACCACAAUGAACCCUGCUUACAUAUAUGAUAAUAAGGCACUCACCAAAAUAAUAGUGGAAGGGAGAUUAGUGGAAUAGAGCAAGCAGAUCAUGGAGAGGGAGGAGGAGAAGAAAAGGGGCAGUCCUAGGGAAUGAGAUUGACCUAAUUAUUUUACAUGCAUGUACAAAUAUAACAUAAUGAUGUCACUAUUACUUAUAAUUUUAAUAUUAAAAAUUAAAUAUUAAAAUUAUACUUUUCAAUGUACCCAUUGAAAAAAAAAGAAAACCUUCUGAUCAAAAUGCAAGAGAUAGAAUCGUUUAUAUCUUCUUUCUGAUAUUUUAUUUCUAUUUAUAAGUAUACCUCUCUGUAUAGAAAAGCCCAUGAGAAUAAACUAAUAAACAUAAGAAUUAAUUUCUUAAAAUUUUAAUAUGGUGAAUUUCUAAAAAUUUUAGUAUUUACUUUGCAAGUAAAUAUUCAGACUCACAGAGGAUUCUAUGUCACAUGUUAACUGGGAAGGAAUUAACUUUCCAUUGAUGAUCCUAGAGAAAUUGGAUAAUUUGCAGAAAAAUAAUCAACCUUGAUCUUCAUCUCAUCCUAUAAUCAAAAGUCUUUCAUCCCAUAAUUAUUUAGUGUUAAAUGUAAACACUGACACCACAGAAAAACUGGAAGAAAAGAAAGGUGACCAUAUUGGUCACUUCACUAAACAUACACAUACACACAUACCCACCCCCAUGUAGAUUUACCCAUGGAGAGACAGAGGCAUACAAAUGUAGAUACUUACUCAGAUGUCAAAAAAUAUAGUACAAUUGAUAUGAGAAGACUUUCUCAUUGUGAUAAUUGAUUGCCUUGAUCCAAAUAACCUGGGGCAGGUGGAGCCAGGGACAAGACUCUUUCAACACUCCCUGCAUUAAUACCUGUGUCUAAUACUACAUACUGUCUUUAAUUCAAGAAAAUUCCUUUCCCAGGUAAGAGGGGGCUGUUUUUAAGUCUAAAUUUUAGAAGCUGCUAUAUCUAACUCAACAAAGUUAAUACAAAUUCUGGUUGUAAAGUAAUAUAAAAGAAAACCUAUAUUUUGAAUCUCAACCAGUGAAUCUUUAUGUCAAGUUAAAAACAUUUAUGUGUAUAUCAUCUUUGUAAAGUUUUAUGAGAGCCCUAAAAAAUGAAAUAGCCAACAGGGGGAAAUAUUGAUUUAAAAACAUAACAAGUUUAUUUAUGUUUAUUUUAUGAGUUCAACCUAAAUAAUAAAGCUGUCCUGUUUUAAUCUUCUCUUAGGGCCCAUCUUAUCCCAAGGAAACAGCCAAAGAGAACAAAUCCAACUCCAUGACCUCUGUGCAUACUUUAUUAAAGAUAGCUUUGUUUUAUGUGGUGGGACAGAGAUAUCAGAAAACAUGAGGUUUCUCUGCAUAAGGCAGUAACAUUACUAAAAAUCCCCUCUGCCCGUCCUCAUUAAAGCCUCAGCAAUCAGAUUCCAAAGUGUAGCACAUUCUGACAUUUUUCUUUUCUCUUUCUCUUCCCUCCUGUCAAGUCUCUCAAACUUCUUGCUAUUUUCAUUACUUCUUUUUCUUCAAACAGGUAUCUCCAUAUUUCCACAUCUUUAAAAAAAAAAAGAAGUUCCCAUGUCUUUUCUUAUCUAUGUCAAUUUAGCCUGGAUUCCCCCAUAUCACACCUCACUCCAUUCAUCAGAACUACAGACUUGACAUUCUUCCUAAUGACUGGAAAAAUGAGGAACAGAAAAGAGAAAAGGGGAAAGACGAAUGGAUUAUCAACAUUCAAUUAAAUAUGUGGUUUAAUAUGUUUUUCUUGUCUCCCUGUCACAUAUGUAAAAAGAGGUCAGUUAAAAAAAAAACUAAAAUUCCAAUAGAAAACUGGUUCAAGUAUAUAAGAAUAUGUUGCACAUACAUAGAAAUAUAUAAAAAAAUGAAGACAUGAAAAAUCAACACCACUAGAAAACAAUACAAAUGAAAACACUGAGAUAUCAUGAUUUAACAGAUUGAAUUAGCAAAGAUUAAAAUUAAAAUAUUCAGUGCUGAUGGAGGGAUAGUGAGAUUGGCAUUCUUACAUGUUGCUAAUAGAAAUAAAGACUGAACAACCUUUCUGAAAUGCAAGUAAGCAUUGCAGGGUACAAUUUUAAAAUUUUCAAUCUUUGCCAUUCAUUUCUAGAAUAAUUAUGAAGUAUUAUAGAAGAUCUAUGUAUAGGUACUUUGUUAUUUGUUUUAACAUUGUUUAUGAAGACAAAAUUAGACACAACAAAAAUGUCCAGAAUUGGUUGUUGGUAAAGUAAUUUAAAGGUAUUAGUGAUGAAAAUUGAGAUUUCUGAAAUCUAUUUAAUGAUAUUAUAAAAUGGUUAUGCUAAAAUGUGAAGCAAGGUUAUACUGGGUAGAAAGCUCCAUAGGAUAAUCUAAGUUCUAUAACAUAGAUGUGUGUAAGUAGGAAGGAAAUAUACCAAAGUAUCAACCAAGGUUAUCUUUGUGGAAAUUUUUACUUCCUUCUUGAUCUUCCCUGAAUUUUCCACAUAACCCAUAAUGAGGAAGUCUGAAGUAGUACUACUUUCAUAAUCAGAAAAGGUUUUAUUUUUUUAACCAAGAAAAGGCAUCAAAUUCUCUUAUAAAUAACCAAGUGCCCCCCCCCCCCAAAUAACCAAGUGCCAUUCCUAUUUGUCAUUAGUAAGCAUUUCAAAUUCAUGGAUGCAAUUUAAAGACUUUUGUAAGAGACUUUCUUGAGAAGAGACUGUAAUGCUUUUGUAACAGGUAAUUUAAUAAAUUUGGAAGAGAUUAUGGAGAGAAGUGGGGCUGAGGAAUUAAAAAACAUAAUGAGAAUUCUAAGGUUUCAGAAAAAGACUUAGUCUCUUGCUCUAAAUAGUAAAGAAAGCAAUGAAUAAUUAAAAGCCAAAUGAAUUACUAUUGUGUUUACUUCUUCCCAUUGUUCUGAGAUGCUUAAUAGAUUUUUUCAAAGCAUUUUUAAACUUAUUAUCUUCACAACUUUAUCAAGAAGUAAUCACAUCUUUCAUAUUUUGAAGUUGUUUUUAUUGUUUACCUUCUUUCAACUAUAUGACUAUGGACAAAUCAUUGUUGAGCAUCUGAUGCUAACUAUAGGAUAUUUGAUAUUGACCAAACAUAAUUUCUUAACAUUCAAGCUUUCUGGACAAGUCAGUUACAAAUUGUCUGCAACAUCAUAGAGCUGAAAGCUAACACAGGAGAAUGAAUUUGGUUGAUUCCUUAAGAUCAUGUCUUAACCAAAUCAUCCUUUCUUUUAUUCUACUCUUCCACAUUCACCUGAGGUAACUAAAUAGGAAGAUUAAAAUCAUUAGAAUAAACCCAUCUUUUACUAUUAAAAAAUCAUCUUUGGGGAUGGGGAUGUGGCUCAGCGCGGCCCGGGUUCGAUCCUCAGCACCACAUACAAACAAAGAUGUUGUGUCCGCCGAAAACUAACAAAAUAAAUAUUUAAAAAAUUUUCUCUCUCUCUCUCUCUCUCCCCCUCUCUCUCUCUCUUUAAAAUAGAUAAAUAAAUAAAUAAAUAAAAAUAAAAAAUCAUCUCAGAAUCUAACUGUUCUUAGAGAGUCCUGAUGCUAGUAUCUUUAUGUAUUAUAUUUAUGAAGUUCUUCUGGUCGUUAAAAACAUCUCAAAUGGGUGGGACUUAAAAAAAAAAACUUCUCAGGGGAUUCCUGGUUUUCCUGGGUUGUUCCAAUUUUGGGGUAGUUCCAGAAGUGAACACUUCCCCAGUAGCUAAUGAUGUCUCUGGGGAACCCCCACAGCUAGAUUUAUGAUCUUCUCGUCGAAAACAGCUUCUAGCAUUAGAGAGCCCAAGUGUACUCUUAGGCUAGACUCCAUUCUCAGGCGGUUAGGGCCUCUUUGGUCACUCAGAGGUAUUUCAGGCCAACCACCACAAAGGUAAUUCAAGACAUCUGUGUGACCACAUUUCUUCUAGUUUGCUUUAAAGCAAAAACACGCAUUUCAAAGGAUAUAAAAUAUAUAUGUACAGUUAAGAAGCAGCUAUAAAGGAACACCCAUAUGGCUAUCAACCAAAUUAAGAAUACUGUCAACACCCCAGGAAACACCCUGUAAAGCCCUUCCUUUUCACAACCCACUCCCUGAGUUCAAUUGACGCACUCCCUCUUCCCCCAGCAAGGAUUCUUGGCCAGAAUUUUAUCAGCCUGGAGAAGUGUUAGAAAGGCUUUCCAAAAAUAAUCCUUACUGUACAGCACAUGACACUGUGUUGGCAUUAAUAAAAAAGCUGCUACUAUUUUUUAAAUUUUUUUUUCUAUGGAUCAUAUAAAAUAAUUAUUUUCCAGAACCCAAAGGCAUCUAUGUUCUAGAGGAUACCUUGAUUCAGCAGUUCAAUAAUUCAACUUGCUUUUAAUGAUUAUUUCUAAAAGAAUAUUUAAAGCAAUUUACAUUUCCUCUUUUGAAUUCUAUGUUUAGAUCUCUCAGACACUGGGUUUUUAGUAUUUUCUCCAGCCUCUUGUUUAAGGAGGCAAAGUCCUUGGUGUAAUAAAAUAUAUUCUUUUGUGUUUUUUCAAUGAUUUUCAAAUAAUUUGAGCGUUUCCAAAUAUUCACAAAAAUAGAGGAAAUAUUAUAAAGAACCCACAUGUACUUAAUACCUAGCAUAACAAUUAUCAACAUUUGGCAAUUCUUUUUUUUUUCCAGUAUUGGGGAUCAAUUCCAGGGCCUCAUACAUGCAAGGCAAGUUCUGUACUACUGAACCACAUUCCCUAGCGCAUUCUAAAAUUUUUGUUCACUAAUUCUUUUUCCUCUCCUCAUGGUUCUUUUGCUGAAGCAAUUUAAAGUAAACCUCACACAUAAUAUAAUGUCACAUACAAAUACUUCAGAAUAUACCUCUAGCUUAUAAGAGCUUUUAAAUAAUAAUCAACAUACCUACCCAAUUAUUAACAAUAAUUCCUUUAUAUCUAAUAUCCACUCAGACUCAAUAUUCCCUGACUUUAAAAAAUGUCAAUUCAGAAUUAAAUUUUUGUAUCCAGACUCAAAUAGGACCUACAUGUUACAUUCAGUUGAUAUUUCAUUUAAGUUCUUCCAUUCUUUCUUAUGUUAGGCUAUCUUUUUUUUUUUUUUUUUUUUUUUUUUUUAAGAAACUGGUUCUUUUAACCUAAAGAACAUCCUAGUUCCUGGAUUUGUAUGAUGGUAUCCUCCUGAAGUCAUUUACUACUUUUCUUUCAAGUGAUAGAUCUACAGAUGUGAUAAGAUUUGGAAAAAUUCUUUUAGGCAAAGCUUUACACAUGGUGCCAUCAACUUCCUGUUGUAUCCAGUCCUCAGACAUAACGUGUGAGGGUCCCUCUUUUAGUGAUGUUCGGAUUAAUUAGUGGUUUCAGGUAUUGUCAGCCUGACUUAUUCUUUACAAAAUUUUCAACAAACUAAUGAUUUUCACAGUUACUGAUAACUGCUUUUUACAUCCAGUUCUACAGUUGGGCUCUACUACUUGAAGCUAAGAAAGUCUUACUCUGUGACAAUAUCAGAUCAUUAAAUGAUCAUCUGUAUUUUUCCAGGAUUAAAAAAUUGGAUCAAUCUGGAAUUCACUUUAGUGUACAAGGGAGUUGAGGAUUUAAAUUGAUGUGUGCUGGAGAGAAUGUGUUCCAAAAGACAAGUAACCAAAAUGGCCUAAUACCACACACCUGGUGAUGGAAUUCUGACUAGCUACUGUGCCUUUCUAAGAGGAAUCCCAAAUUGUUUCUUUAACAUUCAGUAAUUUUCCCAAAGUUACUAGUGUCCUAGCCCUGGUACACUAAUCAGAAAAAGAUUUCCUUACUUACAGAGACCCUAGAGCAAGAUUAGUCUGAGAAAAUGUCCUUAGGUAUCUGUUGCAUCUUCUUACAGCAGGUGGGGUUUCCACAGAAGAGAAAACUCACUUUUGUGAUUACUCAGGGUUUUGUACAAUUGCUAAGUUUUAAAAUCUUGAAAAUGUCAGCGUUUUAUUUCUGCAAACCAUCAUUUUGUCACCAAGGGAAAUGACCUUGAAAAAAAUCUAUACACAUGACAUAAUGACUCAAAAUUAAGCAGAAGUCAUUAUAUUUCCUUUCUUUCCUUCUUUAAGAACAUAUUCACCACUUUCCAAAUGUUGGCACCUUACACCUGCUCCUUAAAUUACCAGAAAUGAAAUUUAUUGAAAGGAUAAUUAUUUAGCUUAUUUCUUUUCUACCUUAGAAAAAAGAUGUAUCAGAUACUUGGUUUAAAUUUGAAAAAAAAAAGCUGUAAGGCUUAUUAUGAAUGGUUUCUUUGAUUCCAAAAAUUCUCCAUUCAAAUUAAUGCUAGGCUAGUCUUGCAAAAAAAAUUGAUUGCAUUAUCUCUUUGCUCAAGAACAUCUUUGGUUGACCACUGCUUAUAAAACCAAGUUCAAAUUUGUGUUCUUUAGCUAUAGAUCCCUCACUUCCUGGCUACCAUUUCUUCUCCCACUCAUUCUUCAGAGUUAACUCCUGUCUAUUCUCCAAUUUCAUGUGUUUUACACACUCUCAGCCCCUUUCUCACUCCUCUCUCCCAAUGUAGAUUUUAGUCUCUAUUUUUCAACCUCACACCAAAUUUAAUCUCCUCUACAAGCAUUUUCCUAUUGGUGGUCCUUGCAAAUAUUUCCAAUUUUAAAUUAUGCCCCUUUAGAAACAGAAUGAUACAGUUUAACAUACAUUUUUAUUCCUUUUUGUUCACAGUGUAGCUUUUAUGGUCGUCUUACUAGUUUGUAAGAACAGACAUGGUAUGUUACGUAGGACUUUAGUUUUAGACCUAAUUUAAUUGAAAUUCCUGUGAAAUUUUUAAAUAACAACUUUACUGGUGUGCUUAUCAAAUUCACAUGACAUGAUCCUGAGAGUGUGAUAAGGUCUCAUGUUUUCACUUUUCAUGUCUUCCUAUCUUCUGUGUUAGUGAGGCAUCACUGUGAUCAAAAUACCCAACAAAAAUAAUUUAGAGAAGAGAAGUUUUAGUUGGACUCAUGGUUUCAGAAGAUCAGUCCUGAAUCCACUGCUCUGGGCUCAAGUAAGGCAUAACAUCAUGGUGGGUUGGUAGAGGAGCACUGUUCUAUUCAGGGUGGACAGGAAGCAGAAAAAGGGGAAGUGGGCACAGGGAAGAUGAAUUCUCCCAAGGCAUGAUCCCAGUGACCUACCAGCCACACCCCACCUGCCUAUAGUUACCACCCAGUCAGUCCAUUCAAACAAGGAUGAACUCAGUAGGCUACAGCUCUUAUAAUUCAAUCACUUCACGUCUGAACCUAGCUGCAUUCACACAGGAGCUUUUGGGAGACAUCUCAUAUCCAAACCAUAACACUAUAUUUAGAACCUCUGAAGUAAAUUUGAAGGUCUUCCAUCAAUAAAUGAAGCCUAUUUUUCCAGGGUUUGAACUUUGCUAGCUUUAGAGUUUAUUGGUUAAUAGAAUAUGGAACAAAUGCAGGUAUGCCUGUCCUGAAUUUAGGAUUCAUGGGGCCUUUCUUGAUUUCAUUUGCUGUUAUGAGACCCAUCCUCUGCCAUGUGCAGAAGUCCAGGCUAGCCUGCUGGAGAAUGACAGACCAUUUGGAGACUGGCCAUUCUCCUCUGAAGUGCUUCUAGAGUAGCCAUUCCAAUCAGCUCUCCUUGACAUGCCAGCUAAUCCGAGAUGCUAGAGCCAAUGUCCAGUCCAAAAAAAUCACUCAGCUUAGCUCAACGUAACUGCUGAUGUGUAGAAUUAGAAGCAAAACUGUUAUAUUAGUCCAUUAAAUUUGGGGUGGCUUAAUAUAUGACACAUGUUAAGGGAUAAACCAAAAAUAUUUUUUAAAAUGUUAGAGGGAAGAAUCUUAAUACUAAGAGAGUUCAGCAUUCUAGAAUAACAAACUAUGCUGUUCAGAUAAAAUGUAACUGUGGUAAGUGCAAACUUCUAAAUUCAAGUUCAAAAAUCCAGAUGUAGAAUAUAAAAUAGCAGAGAUAUAACUUAUCAACAUGUAUGCAAAGCACUUACUGGCUUUGGUCGACCAUAAAUAUAUGACUCAACCCUGUGUUCCACACUUCCAAUGAAGCUAAUCCUAUAUAAAAUUAAUACUAGUAUGUUUUAGUACAUAAGAACCUAAAAUAGAGCUUGUCCAUAGGAAAGUGAUCAUGAUGCUAAAAGGGCCUAGAAACUAUCUCAAACAAGGAAAAAUGAAAGGCAAUGCAAUUGUGAAUACAGUAGAAAGACUGAAUGACCACAGUGGAUAAGAGAGCUAUGUGACAAAGAAUUGGGCAUGUUUCAUGCCAUCCCACUGAAAGUUAGGACCCAAAGCUUCAGAUGAACAUUGAGAAGAAAAUGAAUUAGAGAGGCUGCAUAUAUAUGCUGUUUAAGAAUAUACCCAUUUUUUUUUGCCAGGCAUGGUGGUGCACGCCUGUAAUCCCAGCAGUUUGGGAGGCUGAGGCAGGAGGAUCAUGAGUUCAAAGCCAGUCUUGGCAACUUAGCAAGGCCCUAAGCAACUCAGUGAGACCCUGUCUCUAAAUAAAAUAUUAGAGAAGGGCUGGGGAUGUUGCUUGGUGGUUAAGCGCUCCUGGAUUCAGUCCCUAGUACCAAAAAAAAAAAAAAGAAUCAUUUUGGAAGGAAAUAAUAACAGUACCAUUCUACAAGGUGUGAUGAAGAUUAGCUUGGAAUUUUGAAGUUGUUUAGAUCAGUGUCUAGCACAUAGUAAGCACUCAAUGGAUUGUAUUUAUUAUCACUAAUAAUGAGAGCAAUAUAAACAUGAAAUGAACUGCCUCAGGAGGCAGAAAGCUCUCUCACACUGACAAUAUUCACAGGAGUCUUGCCAGAUGUUUAUUAGAACAGAUAAACAUCAGGACAAAAGUUAGAGUAGGUGACAUUGAAAUUACCUUCUAAUACAAAAUAAAUCUAUGUCCCUUAAGACUUGAAUAACUUCAUUGUACCUUUCAAAAUAGCACUAUUGACCAAAUUAUAUUUAUCUAGUAUAUUUGAUUAAACUUUUAUUAUAUAAUUAUAAAUGUAUAGUUUCUCUUUCAUAACAGUUGAUUCAUGCUGAAAUAAAGGUAUGUGAGGAUUCUGAUUUUUUUUUUAUCUCCUAUCCUCUAAAGUAAGUAUACCAUUAAAGUUUGUUUUUCUUAACAUCAGUGUGGAGCAUGCCUGUAACCCCAGCAGCUUGGGAGGUUGAGGCAGGAGGAUCAAGAGUUCAAAGCCAGCCUCAGUUAUUUAGCAACUCAGUGAGACCCUGUCUCUAAGUAAAAUACAAAAAAUCAGUGUUGACUGAAACUAAAAAGUACAGGCUUUAGUGCUUCCUUAUACAUCAUUUAAAUUUGUGUGUGCUAAGCUCUCAGAUUUUUACAUGUAGCUUUCCCCCUUCAAGGUAUAAUAAGGCUGCCACUUGUGAUUGAUCCCAUAUCAAAAGUUCAAACUGGAGUCAAAAACCACUUUUCCUUCUGUACAUACGGUACCUGGAAACACUGACAACAAUUCUUCCUGCCUCCAAAGGCACAGCAGACAAUCCCAAUCCCCACUGCAAAUCUGUUUAAUAAAAUAGCUCUAGUAGAAUCCCCCAAACUUAGUAAUGUGCUUAUUGUCUUCAAUUAUCUCAUUGUUAUCCGUUAAUAGAAUUCACAUUAGCCAAGGUGUCUUUAUCAUCUCUAAACACCCCCUCCCUUUUUUUUGCAAUGAAUUCCAACAUAAUAAUAGCUAUUAAUAUCUGUGAGAAAAAGAAGUGUUUUGCUUUCCCCAUUAAUGAAAGUUGAUAGUUUGGUACUCUGGCUAGGAGAAUCACAUAAGGUACAAAUGAGAAGAGUUCUGAAUUCUAGGUUUGAAUGAGCUCUGGGUUCUGGAUAUAGAGUGAAAUAAAUAGAAAAAUCAUUCAUAGACACAAACAGGCUUUUUGGACAACUAGGUGUCUGAUAGGAGCCGCAUAUUGUGCUGCAUCAAUGCAAAGAUAAGUAACAUGUUCCAGGAGAGUGUGGUGAUGCAUGCCUGUACUUCCAGCUACUCAGGAGGCGGAGGCAGGAGGAUCACAGUUGGAGGCCAGUCUCCACAACUCAACAUGACCCUACCUUAAAAUAAAAUUUAAAAAGGGAUGUAACUCAGUGGUAAAGCGCCCCUGGGUUUAAUCCUCAGUACUGAAAAAAAAAAUUAAAAAAGGAUGAAAGAACAAACAUGUUCCAUUUCUCAGAAUUGAUAACCAAAGCAAAGCAAAACUGUACUAGAAAAUUCAAAGUACAGUUUUAACUCAGAAUAGAUGUUGCAGUAGGGAAGGAAAGAAAAGUAGAGGUGAAUUAUAAGAGAUUUUGAAAAAGAGGAAGGAGUUAAGCAGGAACAAGGGACAGGAGUAGCACUAACAAGGGCAAAGAGCUAUAAGAAGACAAUACCUACAGACCUGGAGGGAACAGGCAGUGGAGCUGAGGGCAGAGGUGGCUACGUCAUGCCCACCCCACUUUACCCUUCAGAGAGAGUCAGACAGGGCCGCAGCCCCUGGGGGGCCUUUCACCUCUUGGUCAAGUAAGUGGGUCAUAUUUACAAGUUGUAUCCAGAAUCCAGACAGGAGAUGAGGAAGGCCUAACUGGGAGCCAUCACUAUGGGAAAGGAUAAGGCAAGAUGUUAGGAUUUAGAACCAUCUGAACUUAAAUAGCAGACCAAAUGGAUGAGAGGGAGGAAUUAUGGACAAUGUCCAAGAAUCUGGCUUGAAUUUGGGGCUAGGUAGAAGUAGAACUGUUUACUGAGAGAGGAACAGAACAUCUGUGGAUGGGAAAGAGAAGCAGGCUAGCUCAAUUGUGGAUAGUUGAGUAAAUGAACCAAUAGAAUAAAGAAAACAAAUGAGCCAGAAUAAAGAACCAAUAGAAUAAAAAAAAAAUAGUUAUUUUUUUUUCUAUCAGGGAUUGAAGCUGGGGUGCUCUACCUCUGAGAUACAUUCCCUGUUCCUUUUUAUUUUAUUUUCGGGACAGGGUAUUGCUAACUUGCCAAGGCUGGCCUGGAACUUGUGAUCUUCCUGCCUCAGCCUCCUGUGUUACUGGGAUUGCACGUGUGCAGCACAUACCCAGCUCAAAUAGUUGAUUCUUUUCCUUUUCCUUUUUUUUUUUUUUUAAGUGAAUCAGGAAUGAAACACUGGAAAACACAGAACUGGUUCUGUAAGAGAGACUGAGAAGGUCUCGUCUCCUGUAGAUGAGAAUUGUAACCCCAUCUAUGCUCCUGAAACCCAAGAGAGGAAUGACCUUCAAGAAGAGGGUAACUGAGUCAAAUGCUGUAGAGAUCAAGUUGCAGAGGAAUUGGAAGAUGCUCUUUGGAUUUGGCAGUUAGAGUUUUCCCACUGAUCUUGGCAAGACCACUUUCACUGACGUAGCAAAGGAAAGAAACAACUUCCAUGCCUCGAAGCAUGAGAAUGACAUUCUCUCUUUCUCUCUUCUAUUUUGUUUGAAAUCUCAACAUAAUGACUUUUAUUGCUGAUUCCCUUUGCAAGUCCUUAGUGUAAAAAUGCAGCUUAUGAGUUUUGCAAAUGAGUAAAGCCUUUUCAGAGUUGCCAUUCUGUAAGCAACCAACUUUUAAGGGAAAGUUUUUCUUGGAGAAUUCCUUAGAGAGGCUAAGGAAGUCAUUUAACAGAAAAAGCAACCUGAAUCCAGGUAGUGAGAAAACAUGGAUCUCUGAUUCAGCAAUGUGAGAAUUUAUUUUUUUCUUUUUCUACCACUCCCUCUCCUGAACAAGCAGCUACUAUGUGGAAAGAAUUACGCUUGGUGCUUUGGGGACAUAAAUAAUGAAUAAGGCACAAUCCUGCCUCACCCCAGCCUAUAGUCAAGGAGAUUACAAGCCAGUGAAAAAGACAGACAGGUAAUCAACCAACCUUAAAAUAAGGUGGGCUGCAAGAAAUGCUCAUAAUGGUACAAGUAAAGUUCUAUGGGGGCCAACUAUAAUUCCCCAUUUCUCAUGAAAUGCAGGAAAUGACCUUUAAAAACGCAGACACAAUUGGGGAGUUCAUCGCACCACUAAUUACCUCCCUACUCUCCAGACCAUAAACUUUUAUUCGAUCUGUUCUCUGUUCACCUCAUUCAUACUCAUUUAUUUUAACAGGCAUCCAAAUGGCCUAUAUGUAAAACCUUAACAGACAUUAGUGGCAAGGAGAGAUUUCGCCUCCACCCUUGGCUUUAUUGUGAUUCUUUCAUUAAACUGAACUUUAAUGAUGUUUAAUACUACCAUUUUGACUCUUUUCAUUGUUAGUACUAAUGUCCUUAAAGCUAAAUGCAUAGCCUCAUGGUUGAGGAGCACACUAAGCCUCCUUCUCCCAGAGCAGAUAAACUGGGACACCUAAAUAUACAGAGCAGCUUCUGAGGAAUACUUCUGAAUAUUUGGAUCUGAAUAACCUCACGGUGACACCUCCGCAGCUCCUAUCCCUUUUAAAGUUCUUUGUAAAGCACCUCCCUUUGAAGGGUCAGCCCACCACAGCAUGCUCACACUAUUCUCACAUGUGCAGUUUUGCUAUUUUUAGCCAGGGUCUUUUGGAAAAUGAAAAUCUCAGGUAGGUUAACUGUAGCCAGAGUGACCCAGAACAGAAGCCAGGUCAUGCUUUUUCUUGGCUUCCUUCUGUUAUCCUCUCAGGAAACUUUGAUUAUAUUUCAACUAGGAAUAGGAAAGAGAUUGUCUAAAUAAAAAAACAUCUCUCCAGCAGGUGGUUAAGUCUUAGGUUCUGGAGUCAGCGUGGCUGGGUCUGGAUGCCAACUCUACCAUUUAUUAGCUCCGUGACCUUGAACCAGUUGUUUAUCCUCUAGGCUUCAGCUGGAAAAUGAUUAAAUAAGAUACCGCCUAUAAAAACUGAGGUUAGUGUUAGACACAGAGUCUUCAAACAAUAGUAGCUAUUAAAAUAAUUAUUAUUGCUAUUAUCAUUGAUACCAAAUUGCCCUGGAUUACUGCUUAUAACACCCUGCCCCACACAUGGUAGGCACUCAAUGUCUGUUUACUCUUAGCGGAUGCUUGGCUAGUUUUUAGCUUAGAAUGCAGUGUUUCCAAGAAGUGCUCCUUUUGGCUUUCUCAAAAGUACCCAGAGCAUUGGGAAGGUAGCAAAACUAUUAAUUUUGCAGUACAGUUUCUCAGGGCUCAAUAUUAUUAUCAUUUUUUCAUCCAUGUGGAAAGAGAGGGCCGUGGGUAUAGGUCAGUUGUAGAGUACUUGCCUAACAUGCACAAUGCCCUAGGUUAGAUCCCCCAGAGAAUAAAAGAAAAAAAAAGAAAUUAUGCAAAAAGAGAGUGUAUUAUGAGUACAUGUAUCUUACAGCAGCCUUAGGUGAUGUUUUUUUCUCCACCCCACGUUAAUACAAAUCUGUUUCAUUUUCUCAACAAUAUACCAGUCAGCCUACUUAGCAUUUUUCUACCAAAAGUUCCACUUGAUAUUUUUCAGCUGGGUUCUGGGAGAGAAGUUGGGGCAGUGUUAAUGGAAAGUAUCAGCACAUGAGACAAGGAAAGAAUAAACAAUAUCUCUGUAACACAAAUAUGACUUUGUGCCCUUUGAUAAUGGCACUUUCCUUAAUAGUAAGAGCCUGGGGAAUGUGUGUGUGUGUCUGUCUAUCUGUGUGAGCAUUCAGUCCAUGCAUGUUAUAUUGUACAUUUCAACUUUCACAGACAAGUUAUAAAACAAGAUCAGAAGAACAAGAAAGAUGUUUGUUUCUUAUGUUUAUAGUUUCCCAUUUUUAUAGUGUGUCAGUAUCUAUAGAUGUCUAAAAUUAAGGGAUUUUAUAAACUUAAUAAAUGAAUACAUCCUAUUGAUAUUAAUUACUCAUAUUUCACGUAUUUUUCUUUGGCUUUUGGGAGCUAUUGCUAUAUACUUUUAUGUUUAUAAGAGAACAUAAAUUAUACUGCCAGUGGUUGAAGCAUAUUUGUUAAAUUUUAUAACAAUUCUUGUGAGCUCAUCAAGCCUGUUUAUAGAACCAUCUUGCCUGUUGUGAAUGUGAGACGGACAGGCUUCUUGCCUUUGUGUGUUAGGCUGAGCUUUUUACCCAACUGAACUCCCAUAGGUGGAGUUAAUGUUGUAAACUUCAGCCUAGAUUGUUUAUAGGAUGGUAGUGGGAAUCUAGGCAUCUAAAUAUAAGGGAUAUAUAUUCUCACUUUUGGUAAUUUAGGACAGUGUUAAUGAAAUUGACUUUAAAAUCUGAAUAGAACUUCAACAACAAUUAUGAAAAAGAAUAAGAUGAAACUGAAUAACAAACUAAACUUCUUUUACUUAACCAUCAGUAGUCAGGCACUAUAAGCCUACUGUGUGCCCAUUAUGGAGUUGAGCCUUUUUCUGGGGGGAGGGUGCCAGGGAUUGAACUCAGAGACACUCAACCACUGAGCCACAUCCCUAGCCCUAUUUUGUAUUUUCUUUAGAGACAGGGUCUCACUGAGUUGCAUAGUGCCUUGCAUUGCUGAGGCUGGCUUUGAACUCACAAUACACCUGUCUCAGGCUCCUAAAUCACUGGGAUUACAGGCAUAAGCCUCUGUGCCCAGCAGAGUUAAGCCUUUUGGGCAAAGGCAGGAUGGAAACAAACUGACAUGGGUUCCAAUGUGUAGAAGUGGUGGCAGUUGACAUUUUAGAGAGUUAAUUAACUAGGCCAAAACAAGAAGUAUUAUUUAAUGUUGAAUAAAAGGAGAAUGGAUUUUAAAAGCACCAACAAAACAAUUCACUCUUCUCCUAGAACCCCAUGUGGUUGGGGUUGCCCCAGGCAAUAAGAAUCAGCUUCAGGUGAUGAAAGAACAGAACAUCAUGCCAGAUGCAGACACGGGGAUACCUAUGAAUAUUUCUAAAUCAAUGACAACUCCUAUAUACAAUAAGUAUCAAUAGAAACAGUAUUUGGCAGAUAAUAGGCUCCCCUAUAGUUCUUGAGUUUAAGUGUUUUCAAUAGAAAUUUGUUUGCCUCAGUGCUGAGAAUUUCUUCAAACCUAAAUCCCCAGGUUUAUCACCUUUGAACUUCAAAGACAGGGUUCUUGGCUCAGCAGAGUCCUGCUCCUGGUUUUCAGAGCCAAAGGUAGCUUCUCUGUCUCUCCAUCUUGAUCCAGACUGAAUUUGGGAGAUGGGUGUUAGCAAGUCAACGCCUUCAUCCUUCCACCAAUAUUUAUUAUAACAGCUCUGCUUUGUGCUUUCUCUGAGUUCUAAGUAUCUUCUCACAGCAGGCAACUGCUCUCUCCCCUGCUCUGUGUCACUGAGCACUAGGAUAUCAUUGCAGCUACAGUAAUACUGGCUAAAGGAGAGGGUAUAAAUCAGAUGGGAGUUGACUCUGUGUUAAGCAAUAUCAGACAAGCACAACAAGCUAUGGAUUCUAUGGAGUGAGAGACCCUGAUUUGGAUAUAGUUUUUCUGUUAUCUCUCUUGCUUUAAGACUGCUAUUCUGGAUUCUGCUACCACAUCUGUAUUCCAUCUAGCAAGUACAUGACCUGUCAACUGCACAUGGUAUUGCCUCUCUCCUUCCACUAGCCAUAAUCUAGUCAUUCAGCCAUGGCCAAAUGCAAGGGAGGACAAAUGUGUACCUUUAACUAGGCAGACAUAUGUCCAACUAAAACCUCCAUUAUUUUAGAAGAAAUAGAAAACACACCUUUUAACAUUCAGGGUUCCUUCAUCUUGUAACAAAAAUCCCCAGAAGAAAAAUACUUUGUUUAAUGCAUUUUGCCAUAGUGACCAGGAGCUAAAUGUAUAGAGAUCCAGGGUAUUCACAUAGAAAAAAGAAAAACACUUUAAGAUAAUAUUUAUCUAUAGCUACAGUAAUUGUAAUGGCUUGUCUUGCUAAAAAUUAUUAUUCCAUGUAUUCCAUUCAUGACUUUGGACAUUUUGUUUUUUUUGGAAGCAGUGAAAGCCACACAUUAGUUUUGGGGUUGACCUUCUCCAUCUUCUUGAAUCACUGAGAACCCUAAGUGAUAAAUAUUAAGUCCUGAGGCACUUCAUAUAGAACUAGUGCUGUCCAUCCAGACCCAAUCAGAAUAUAACAAUAUGGUGUUCAACUAUUCUGGACAGGCUUUGGCUUAGAAGACUGCUUUUAUAGUGACUUGCAUUUGCUAAGCUAAAUGUUCUUUAGUAAGAAAAACUGUUCAACGGUUAAAUUAAAAAAGCUAAAGUCUAAUCUAUAAAAAGGACACGUCUAAUUUUUCUUCCCACAGAUGCCUCCAAACUUUGAAAUAAAGCAGCUCUACAUUUUGUUGAUUUUGAGUUCACCAGUUCCUUUCUUUUUAUCUGUUGUUUAUCCAGUUACUUCCACCUGGCUCUUUCAGUUUCCCCUUCACUUACCCAGACAUAUAAAAGGCCUAGGGAGUCUUAUUUACUUUCUUAGCCACCCUUCCAUUCAAUAUCCCUGCUGUCCUUCAAAGCAGUUUCUCUCUCCACGUCCUUCUGGUCAAAUCAAAUAAUGUGUUCAAGUUACAUUUCUUAGGAUCAAGAACAUGUUUACCUGUCACCUAAAUUUAUUUGAAAAAGGCAGGUUGGCAUAGUAAUGGUAACCCCUGAUUCAAAACAGCUCUGUCUGCUUGUGUAUUGGGAAGACACUACAGUUUUCUGAGAUUGUGGCACUUUGGGUUAUUUGACCUGCAGGUCUACACGAUGCCUUGCCAGUAGCACCAGUGAGAAAUUUGUGGGAGAGCCUGGACAUUGAGUUUCAGGUCAUCCUCUAAUGUUAUCUAUCUCCCUGAAUUCCUGCUUCUGUCUGCACCAUCUUCUAAUUCCCUUCCAAUAGUCCACUUUGGAUCUCUCCUUAAUUUAUUGAAAUCCUAAAAUCCUUUUUGUAUUUGUCUGUGCAACCUCUUGGGUGUAACAUGUUUACUGUCAAAUAUGUUAAAGUAUUCUGUCUUAAUUCAUCCUCCAGAGAGUAUCUUCUGUAAAUUACAAAAAAAAAAAAAAAAAAGUCUUCUAGUUGUAACACUAUGGGAUUUGGUGGGAUAAAUUCAGCUCAAGCUUUCACAACACAAUAUUUAGCAGCUGCAAAGGAAAGGAAGACAAAGCUGCCAGGUUAUCCCCAGAAAAUCCCAAGACACAUAUUUUUAACAUUUGCAAUCUUAUUUACAUAAAUUUGUAUGUUCCAUUGAAAAGACACUGACUCCAAUUAUGUAAAAUAAAAUACUCAAUUCCCCUUUAUCUGAUGGUGAAUAAUCACACAUUCUAGGCCUUCAUGCCUGCUACCCAGGGUGAUUUCUUUGGCUUCUCUUUUUCUGCUCCAAGAGUUUCCCUCUUUCAUUCCUACCCUCUAAUAUAUUAUCAUUUUGUUCUUUUCGUAGUAGAGUUGGCCCCAAAAUAUUAGUUUUUCUAUUAUGAGCUCACCUUGGAAUCCUCUUUUUUAACAAAUCCCUCCUUUUCUCCAUAACAAGGAAACACUGCUCCACCCGCCCCUUCCCUCAAUUCAGCUUGGAGUACCAGUGUUUGGGUGGUAGAAAUCCCAUCUGGGUCCAGUUUUCAGCCUUACACAUGAGGGAAGGAUCCUGAGAAGAUUAAUAUAGAUGUCAAUAAUCUGACUCAAAUGCUGCCUUCCAUUGGCGCUUAUAAUUGAAGGUUGACUCACUUAUAUUUUCAAUGUCAUUUCUCCUCUCCAGGUGGAUGGAUGGAUAUCAGAGUUAUUGCAAAAUAAAUUCAUUAGAAUAAUUCACAGAAAGUGUAGGAAGCCCAGAAGCCAGAGCUUUGAGAAAAGAGAAAGCAAGAGUCUCCAUUGGGAGCAAUCUCACUCAACCCAAGACAGGCCUUGUGACAUGACACAGAAGGCUUACCUGCAAACCACUACUACAGGGGCACAGGAGGUCCAGAGAAUCAUACACAAAAAUAAUGUCACUGAACCAAGAGUGGUCAUAUAGCUCUUGAUUCACUUCUUUCCUCUGAAAAGCAUUCUAAAAAGUCACUCCCUAACAAUUUUAUGUGGUGGUUCAUGUUCUCUACCAGGUGUAGGAAACUGCUUUGUAAACUCAAGACCAUCUAUUGGAUUGAAAUGCAAUUUAGUCAAGAGUGACCUCUCAGAGGUACAUGGAUUUCUGACCUUAGCCUUUGAAAUGGCUUCUCUCCCUCCCCAUCAGCAAUGUAGUGGUCUAUUUGGGGCCCGUGUCAACAAAGUCAAAUAUGCAGGGCCAAGGGGACAGCAGCGGGGUCAAGCAGUGAAUGUUGGAACAGUGGCCAACAUAUUUUGUGACAUUCAGGGAGUGUUGUGUUGGUUGGUUGGUUGGUUUCAUAUUUGAGCCAAAUGCUACUCCUCUCACUUUGAACUGAAGUCAGCAGAAGAGAAGUGCAAACCUCCACUGACCACAAAGUACAGAAACACAGUCUAGGAAGCUGGGUGGUUCCCCUGCUGUGCCUGCAGAAUGCUGGCCAUGCUGAUGCAGGCGAGAGGAGGCUUCUUGUUCACUAGGGAUUUCACCCUCUGCCUGCAGUUGCCGGCAAGAAUUGCAGCCAGGGCAAAAUUAUCAGAAAUUCGCUGGGAAAAUAGAUUCAUCUCCUUUAAAAACUGCAAAAAUGGAUUCAGCCCACACUAUCCCACUUAAAGAAUUCUUAUUUUUUUUCUUCCUUUUCCAGUGACUAUGCUUCAUCCUAGAUGUUGGAUCAUGUGUGGUCUGAGGAUGCAUCAGUAGUAAAGGACAGGAAGGAGGUGGGGACCCUAGGAAUACUGUGCUCCUUCUGCUAAAGGUAUACCUGAAAAGUGUCCUUUAGCUACUCAGCAGAGUUCUGCUUUUCUUUUUGAAAUACACCACUUCCUUCUCCCAUUUAUUGAGUUAAGUGAAUUGGGAAUGUGUUUUCUCUAAACUUAAUAUUCAGUUUUUCAUUUAUUUAUUCAUUCAAUUUAUUUGUAUAUCUAAGAGUGCUUAGAUACACAGCAAACAAAAUAGGUAAAAAAAAAUUCUUACUCUCGUGAAUUUAUAUUCAAUUAUUUAAUCUUUAUGAUAGAUAGGCCACGAGGCAGGUCUGUUAUGGUGCCCUUUUCAGAGGGAACUUGCUAAAAGUCAUACAGCCAGUGGAAGGCUAAGUGGGGAAGUGAACCCAGUAGGCUGGCUCCAGAGAGCCCAUAUUCUUCCCAUCAGACUCUACACUCCCUGGUGGGACUGAUGGCUGUGACUUCUAGUUCAGAAGAACAGAAGGUCAGGCACACAUCUGUAAGUUUUAGAGGUAAAGUCUAUAAUCCACAAGAUGGUUUAAUGACAAAAAAAAAUUAUUUAAACAAAAUAUUGUGUGUGAAUUUCCCACUUUGAGGGUCAUACUUAAAUGCAAUCUGUUUCCUUCGAACAAGCUCUGAUAGGCAGGGGAGGAUCGGCCAAACAGCUGAAAGACCAGAAGAUUGGAGGAUGCCAUUGGUUUGCAAGUAGAGGCAGGUGCUGGGGUGAGGGAAUCUCAUAUCAAGAAUUCUCAAGCUCAAAAGUUUACCUCAGGCAUCAUUAGCACCAACCAAAUAGUUCACAUUUGGGAUUUUUCUCAGACAGCUUUAUGAGCUCAAUUUGAUUAUUUCACUUAAAUAAAAUCAAGAUAAAAGAUAAAAUAACAGUCAAUCUGCUCAAAGCAUACUGUUCAACAAGAAAUAGAGGCAUUCUUACUUUGCUUACUGGCUUCUCAAUCAGAGGGUUUGCAAAGCAAACUGGAGCUAGGCUGCUGUACACAGAAGGUUUCCAUUGUUGCUCCUGUAGUUAAGAAAACAGAGAAAGAGAUUUCAGGGACUUGGCUGACUUUCUGCUGCUGGGAGCCAUUUCCCUGCUGCUCACAAUAGUGCCUCAAGCACUUGAACUCCACAUUUGUCACUUGAAAUACCUGAGUCAGCGUUUUUGCAUAGCCCUUCAGUCUACAGCCUAUGCAAACCCAUUUAACCUUGUACAGAGACAGGUUACAAAACCACUUAUGACAUUCUGAAGGAAUUAAUAUACCCAUGUUGACAGCAAUUCAGGAUAUUUUCAGCUUUAUCUGUUAAGGUAUUUUUCUAGAACAUAAGUUAGAUUAAAAGAAUUUAAAAAAAAAAUGACUUUCCUAAUAUCUCAUUCCCUAAAAACAAUGACCACAGGUCAACCUCUGAUUUUUAAACCUUUGAUUCUGAAUGGGAUGAUUUCCAAAGUUCUUUACCUACUAUUCAGAAUCCUCCCAAAGAACUCUUACUACUUUUUCAACUUCAGCUCCAACUUAACCUUACAAUUUACCCAAUAACUCAUGCAAGACUGGUCAAUGUAUUUUUUUAAAUGGUCUCCAAUUUGUAUCUUUGUUUAUGCUGUUCCUGGUUCCUAAAAAUAUACUUCUUCAAUAUCUGCCUGUGAAUUCCUACCUGUCCUAUAAAGUCCAGUUCAACUUCCCUAGGAAACAUUUUCCUAUGUUCCUCCACUUCUGACUAGAGUCACAAUAAAUUUCUCCCUACCACAGAGUCCCAUGGUACUAUUCUUAGAGUACUUAUCACUAUGUGAGCCACCUGGGAUGAAAAUCAUGUUUCGGUAUUUCUUAGCCUUUAUAAUUUAGCACAGGGUAAUUUUUAAAAAAUUUCUAAUUAGAGUAAAUUUUCUUUGGUUAACUGAUCUCUUCCUGCAUGUCUUUAUUAAGAUCCAAUUGUCUCCAAUCCCAGUUCCAAUCUCACCACCCAUAUUUUUCAUCCUCUCUUUCAAUCUUGUUAGAAGAGUCAUCAAGAGGAAAAAAAAAAUGAAAAUUUAACUGUACAUAUCAACAAACCCCAUAAAAUAAAAAUGAACUUUAAUAAUAAAUCAGCAAAUAUUGACCCAUCCCCACCUCCUGCUGCUCAUUAAUUGGCUGUGUUAUUCGAAGUAAAGGAAGAUUUUUCAGUGAUCUUAGCAAAGGAAUGGAGUAUAAGCUUCUGGACUCUCUACUCCUGCUGUUACUAAUUAUCUUACCCUGCCCCCAAUGGGGCAAAUUACUUAUUCUCUCCACCAGGGUGGCCCUGCCUAUAAAUGUGGUUUGCAUUAUUUACACACAUCUCACAGGGUAUUUUGAGACUAAUUGCAGAGAUAUCCAUGGCCUAGAAAGGCAAAGCAUAACCCCUGGGGAGAGGGCCCUGCAAUUUACCCUUAAGAGAAGUCAUUCAAACCUCUGACUUCUUCCCAGAAUCUGAAAACAGGGGCUAUAGUUGGAUUCCUAAAGAUGUGGAUUGCUGUCCAUUAGGAGUUAAACCAAGACCAGCAACUCAUUUCGCAGGUCAUGUUCCAGCUGUCAAAGUGUAAUUACCAUCAAACCCCACUGGCGCAGGUUCCAACCAUAUUAGUGAAUGCAUGAAUGAAAGUUCCAAAAGAUCGAAUUACCAACUUCCACCUUCCAAAGAUAAAAGGACAUUGAAUGGCACCAGGGAAAAGGCCAAAUUAUGUCAACUUAAGACUACAAUUUUUUUUUUUUUUUUAAUGAAAAUAACAGUUGCCAUGUUGAUGAUAGGGAAACAUGAUUCUGUGUUGAGCAUGUCAAUCUGCAGAAGCAGUAGAUGAAUCUGAAGAACUUUGCCCUUUAGUCUGAGGCUUGUCCAGUUGCUAUGGCAACAUGUAACUAGCUUUCUCAGGAGGUUGUGCAUCCUGAUUUUCUUUAGACCAAACAAUCCCUUGAUAAGUUCACACUGGGUAUACUUAAGACCAAAACAGCACAGUAGUUGCAAAACAGAUUUCUUACUUGUAAAUUAUUUAUUUGGUGGCAAAAUACAUUAUGAGUCUGGACCACAUAGAAAGGUAACUUCUGAAAUAAUGGGUUCAUACGUAAGGCAUUAGACUAGUGGUAGGCAUACAGUUAUUAUUAAACAGUGUUUCCCUUUUCCUUUCCCUCCCAUCCUCAUUUCAGGCUUUCCCCAUGGGUUUUUAUUAUUCUGGUUUGGAUGACUGGCAUUAUUUACCUUUUGUUCCCCACUAACUCACCAUUUGCUGAAUAUGGGAGUCUGGAUGCUGAGGUUGGGCUUGGAACAAGGAGAGGAGUUACAGAAUUAGAGAAAGGUUGUUGAAGCCCCAGGCAUAUCAGCCAUCCUCUACAGAUCUCUGCAAAAUGAGAGCAAUUGUUGCCCCUGUAUCUUCUUCUCAUGAUAACUUCAGAGCACUUUAAAAUUGGUACACAACUUCUCAGAGAUUUCCACAUGAAAGGGGCUUAGGGUAAUUUUUCUAAGAUUAGCUCUUAAAAGAAGAAAAAGCUGUUGUGAAGACCUUGAACUGUAAUGACAACCUUUAGUGUUUAUCCUGGUGCCUGAAAUAUAAUGACAAUUCCUGGUACAAAAGGACAGAAAUAAUUUAGAUUUUUUUGAGGUGGAAAGAUAUGGGGAUCAUCUGAUAGGUUCUGCUAGAAUGACUGAGCAGUCCAGGUGGUGUCUGCUUAGGGAUACAUUGACUGAGGCAGCUCAAACAAUCCUACCUACUCAGAAGGAAAGAAAGUGUCCUUCCUCAGAAAUCUUGAUCUUAUACUGUAUAUAAAGAAGGGACAUUUAUAUCUAUCAAUGGCCCCACCCUGUUUUCCACACACCUUGAACCUUGGAACAAUUGUGUUCUAUUUUGAGAUGGAAGCAGCUUCUACCUGUCACUCAUUGUCUAUUGGGAGCAAACAUUUAUUGAGAUUUCUUGUAUCUGCAGAGUACUUUAAAAAUCUGUUAACAAAGCACUUCAGUUGCCCCUUCAACUGCUCAAAAGCCACAAACUGUUUCUGGGACCUAGAUGUGGAGGGAACUGUGACAUUUCAAACACACUGUGGGAAAAGAGGAAGGAGAAAGUUCCUGAAGCAGGAUGUGAUCUAGAUAACCGCCAUUGCCCCAGGCCCUGCUCUCAGGCCCCCUGCUCUGGUUGUGGUGGCCAACCAACAGGGAUUUGGGCUUGCUCCACCCAUUGCAGCUGGAGUUCCUUUCUUGGAAGGGUCAAGCACACAGAUGCAGAGGUGAGGUGGCCUUGGAAAAAAGAGGAGGACUGGGUGGAGGGCGUCUUGCUGUUGACUCACAGGGGCUUGACCAGACUUCCUCCCUUUUUCUACAGUUUUGGUGAACUUGAGUAAACUGUACAUACUGCUACAUUUUCCUCCUUCCUUUUCGACUAUUAUCACAGACAUUUGAGCAGUGAGAGAAGGUCACAGGGGGAACAGCUCACAAGCAAUCCUGUUUUUGAGUUUUCUAGGCAGGAUCUUGUUAGAGGCUAGCCUGCUUAUGCAUUCUCCAGCACCUCCCUUAGUACCCAUUUCCCUUAAAUGCUCUGCUAAAUUUUUGCAUUUAAAUUUCCAUUUCCUGUAUGUUUUACAUGCUGAUUUUUAAAAUGUCCCUUGGGCAUUUGCCUUUCUUCCCAAUGUUUUAUAUAUCUUCUGAACCACCUGUGCCUAUCACAAGGCUACCAUUACACAGAGCAUUAAAACAAAUACUGUUGCAACACUGCACGUUAGUGGGCUCCUGAAAGGAGGCACGUUCCCCUCACCAUCCCCGCGUGUCUCUGAGUUGCCUGCUGCCUUUGUCCAAAUGCAUGUGUGUUCAGCUAGAACACCACUUGGUAUCAUACCCCGGUGACCACUUACCAUCACAUGUUACAUGUUCUCUAUUUUUUUACAGUCUUUGGGUUUAUAAGAUUUAGCCACUACACAAUGUUCCCUCAACAAAGUAGAUUAGAUUGUGUUGAUAUCUUGAUUUAUAUUUCUGUUUUUUUCCAUGUAACUAAAAAAAAUUUUUCCCUGUCUUUUGAAUCAUUGUUUAGAGUAUGUUUCCAAAAAGACAUAAACAUUUUUACACCUUUGGUUAGUUACUAUGUAGUCAUUACUUUUCAAAAGGUUUGGAUAAGUUUCCACAGCUCUCUAAUACACAGCAUACAUACAUAGUGUACAUAUCGAAGUACAUUACUCAACACACACACAUUGACUCUUUUGUUUUCUUAACAGCAAACCCAUGAGGAAUCACCAUAAUUAACUUCAUAUUUAUAGAAGACACUAAGAGCCACAGAGGUUAAGUAAUUCUUUGUCAGAUGACCAAUGUCCCUUUUGGGGCGUCUUUGGCUUCAAGUGCCUGCUGUACCCAGUUCUUCCCUGGUUUCAGUGAGUAAUUGAUGACUCUUUGUCUAUCCUGUACUUCUUCAGCUUGUGUCACAGUGCAAGAAGGAAUGUGGAGUCAUAAACAUGGGAUCAACUUAUAGCUCUGCACUUACUAGCUGUGAGAUGCUGAGUAAGCUGCUGAACCUUGCUAAGCCUCAGUUUCCCCAAAUGUAAAAUGGGAUAAUACCUACAUCAUAGGCUUAUUUGAAGGAUUUAAAUUGAAAUUCAGCUCAGCAAAGAAACUUACAUUUUUAAAAAAUGCUAUUAUUUUUUCACUUAAAGAAAGUUUUUUUUUUUUGUCAUUAUUCCUUGUAUUAUUUUCCAGAGCAAACUAGCAAAUGUCUAGGAGUCUUUAUUAUAGUUUAGUAUGUAGAUUUCCUUCUCUAUUGUCAAUCAGCAAUCUAGAACUUAAUUUAAUUCAAUGCUGUUAGUAAGGAUUUUUAAUUAUUAGUAUUAACACAUUCUAAUUGUACAAAUUAAUGAAUUUCACUGUGACAUUUACAUACAUGCAUAUGUUGUGCCUAUAGAAUUUUUUUUAUUUUAAAAAUUUGUUCUAAUUAGUUAUACAUCAUAGUAGAAUGUAUUUUGACAUAUUAUAUAUAUAUGGAGUAUAACUUUUCAUUCUUCUGGUUGAUGUAGAAUUACAUUAGUUAUAUCUAUGAGAAUUUUUAUGUAAAAUAUUUAUAAGUAAACUAGAAUUUUAUCAAAACAUUUAAAUAAUGAUUGUAAUAAUUAUAAAAGCUACAGAUACAUUGUUUAGAAAUUUAUUAAAUAAGCUUAAACAGGCAUGUUUAUUUUUAAAUUAUAAGCAAUAUUCAACAUUUAUAUAUUAUAAAUCAAAACUAUAAAUAUAAAUUUAUUUAAAAUAAAACUUUUAUCAGGCACAGUGGUACACACCUGUAAUUCUAGCAUCUCAGGAGGCUGAGACAGGAGGAUUGUGAGUUCAAAGCCAGCCUCAACAACUUAGCAAUGCCCUAAGCAACUCAGUGAAACCCUGUCUCUAAAUAAUAUAUAAAAAAGGGCUGGGAUGUUUUGUUUAGUGGUUAAGCACCCCUGAGUUUGAUCCCUGGUACCAAAGCAAAACAAAACAACAACUUAUACCAUUAACAUUCAUAAAACUAAUAUUUAAAAUAUUUCUUAAAAGCAAUAAAUUAUGAGUUAAUUUAAUAAGCACAGGUUUAUGAAUGUCAAUGCUUUUAAAAUAAGUAUGUCUGCCUCUAAGGACCUUAUAAAUAAGUUAAUCAUGAUGCAGUAGAAAGCACUGUCCUCCUACUCUGAAGACCUGGAUUUGAAAACUGGCUUUGACACUUGAUAUGAAACCUUUUGGGGGUUCCACUUCUUCAUCAGUAAAAGUACUGUAUAGAGUACUUGCAUAUAAAUAUAAAUAUAUAUAUAUAUAUAUAUAUAUAUAUAUAUAUAUAUACACACAUACUUGAAUAUAUAAAUAUAUAUAUAAAUGUAUAUACACACAUAUAUAGUGAUAUAUAUAUAUAUAUAUAUAUACACACACACACACACACAUAUAGAUAAUACUUGAUGCAUAUAUACAGAGUACUUAAAUAUAUAUAUAAUCCAGUAAGGCAUUGUAUCUGAAAACAAUCACCAAAUUUCGAUACAUUUAAAAAGAGAUGUUUAAAAUUUCCUGAUCUUUUUGGAAUGCCAAAACCAAGUCAUGUGCUAGUUAUGCCACCCAAAAGUUCAUAGAACUGUAGUACAUACACUCUUAAGUCCUCCAGGAGUUAGAAAAGGUAAAUGAAAUUAAAAUGUGAAGCUACCAAUUCAAACAUGAGAAAACAUCACACAGGAGAAAUAUUUCUCCAUAGUUUCCAAAUGUCUCUGAAGGUCAACUUCAUACUGGAAAUGAUCCCAAAAGUAUGAGCUCUAGAGGGUUCAAAUCUAAAUCAAUCAUAAUAACAGUGAUUUCAACAGGAGGGAGGGGGACAGACAAUGGGAGGGAGGGAACCAAAUGUGCUACAACCUGUGACUCUAUAUAUUGGAACAAUUUGGAGACCUGCGCCGAAUUCGGGUAAAGUUAUGAAUGGAUCAGAGGCAAGUUAUGGGUUAGGUCCCUUCAAAAUUCAUGUGCUGAAGUCCUAAUCCAUGUAGUACACCUCAUGAAGUGGAUGUAUUUGGAUGCAGAGUUUAAAGUGGUAAUAAAAUGACAUCAUACGAUGCACUCUAAUGCAAUUUGACGGGCACCCUUAAAAAGAGAUUAGGAUAAAAAUACAUGCCUAGGGAAGACAACGGGAAGAGACAGGGAGAAGACAGCUGCCUACCAGCCAAGAGGGGAGGCCUCAGAAAGAAUCAACCCUAUCUAUACCUUGAUUUCAGACAUCUGGCUAAGAAGAGGCUUGAAGAAAUGAAGGAAAAAAUUUAUUAUAUAAGCCACCCAGUCUGGGUACUUUGUUAUGGCAUCCUUACAAAGUAUUCUAGCAAAUAAGAGCCUCAAUGUCAAUGGGAAGGGCUUUAGGGGCAGAAGUCAGUCAGCGUAGAAAAGAUUGCCAAAUGGAUUGAGAGGGUGCUGCAGUGACCAGCGACAAAGGUAGGGUUUGCACAACAGCACUGAGCAGGCAUUGAGGACAUAAAGGUGUACAAGAUGCUGUCUUACCCUCAAGGGCUCCCCAAGCCUAGGAGGGGAAAGGUAAAUAAGUAAUAUUUAAGGUGGUAGUAAAGAUUUAGGAUAUCUCUAUAGUAUAGUUUAAAGUCUGGUAUUGGGAUGCCUCCUGCUUCACUUUUCUUGCUAAGGAUUGCUUUGGCUAUUCUGGGUCUCUUAUUUUUCCAAAUGAAUUUCAUGAUUGCUUUUUCUAUUUCUAUGAAGAAUAUCAUUGGGAUUUUAAUAGGAGUUGCAUUAAAUCUGUAUAACGCUUUUGGUAGUAUGGUCAUUUUGACAAUAUUAAUUCUGCCUAUCCAGGAGCAUGGGAGAGCUUUCCAUCUUCUGAGGUGUUCUUCAAUUUCUUUCUUUAGUGUUCUGUAGUUUUCAUUGUAGAGGUCUUUCACCUCUUUUGUUAGAUUGAUUCUCAGGUUUUUGGUUGUUUUUUUUUUUUUUGAGACUUGUGUGAAUGGGGUAGUUUUCCUAAUUUCUCUUUCAGUGGAUUCAUUGCUGAUGUAUAGAAGUGCAUUUGAUUUAUGGUGUGAUUUUAUAUCCUAUUACUUUGUUGAAUUCAUUUAUUAGUUCUAGAAGUUUUCUGGUGGAACUUUUUGGAUCUUCUAGAUAUAGAAUCAGGUCAUCAACAAAAACUGAUAGUUUGAGUUUUUCUUUACCUAUUUGUAUCCCUUUAAUUUCUUUCUUUCUGUCUAAUUGCUCUGGCUAGAGUUUCAAGGGUGAUGUUGAAUAGAAGUGGUGAAAGAGGACAGUCUUGUCUUGUUCCAGUUUUUAGAGGGAAUGCUUUAAAGUUUUCUCCAUUUAGAGUGAUGCUGGCCUUGCAUAUAUAGCUUAUACGAUCUUGAGGUACGUUCCUACUAUACCUAGUUUUUCUAGUGUUUUGAACAUGAAGGUGUGCUGUAUUUUGUCAAAUUCUUUUUCUGCAUCUGUUGAGAAGAUCAUAUGAUUCUUGUUUUUAAGUCUAUUAAUAUGAGAAGUUUACAUUAAUUGAUUUCCAUAUGUUGAACCAAUCCUGCAUCCCUGGGAUGAACCCCACUAGAUCAUGGGGCACUUUUUAAUACGUUUUUGUAUGCGAGUUGCCAGGAUUUUAGAAUCUAUAUUCAUUAGGGAUAUUGGUCUGAAGUUUUCUUUCCUUGAUGUGUCUUUGUCUGGUUUUGGUAUCAGGGUGAUAUUGGCCUCAUAAAAUGAGUUUGGAAGGGUUCCCUCCUUUUCUAUUUCAUGGACUACUUUGAAGCAUUUGAUGUUAAUUCUUCUUUGAAAGUCUUGUAGAACUGAGAAUCCAUCUGGGUCUGGGCUUUUCUUGGUUGGUAGGCUUUGGAUGGCAUUUUCUAUUUCAUUACUUGAAAUUGAUCUGUUUAAAUCAUGUAUGACCUCCUCAUUCAAAUUGGGUAGAUCAUAUGUCUCUAGAAAAUUGUUGAUGUCUUCGAUAUUUUCUAUUUUAUUAGAGUAUAAAUUUUCAAAAUAUAUCGAAUUAUCUUCUGUAUUUCAGACAUGUCCAUUGUGAUACUUCCUUCUUCAUCUCAUUUUUUAGUAAUUUGAGUUUUCUCUCUUUUUUUCUUCAUUAACAUGGCUAAGGGUUUUUCUAUUUUACUUAUUUUUUAAUUUUUUUUUUAGAAAUUUAUUGGUUGCUCAAAACAUUACAUUGAUCUUGACACAUCAUAUAUCAUGCAUUUGUUUCAAAUGGGGUAUGAAUUCUUAUUAUUCUCCUGUGUACAGAUUGCAGAAUCAUGUUGAUUAUACAGCCACGUUUAUACAUACUGCCAAACAAGUGUCUGUUGUAUUUUCUAUUUUACUUAUUUUUUUUCAAAAAAACAACUUUUUGUUUUGCCAAUUUCUUCAAUUUUCUUUUGUUUUGAUUUCAUUGGUUUCAGCUUUGAUUUUAAUUAUUUCCUGUCUUCUACUGCUUUUGGUAUUAAUUUAUUCUUCUUUUUCAAGGGUUUUGAGAUGUAGUAUUAGGUCAUUUAUUUGUUGACUUUUAUUUUUUUAAUGAAUGCUUUCAAUGCAAUAAACUUUCCUCUUAGUACUGCCUUCAUAGUGUCCCAGAGAUUUUGAUAUGCUGUAUCAGUGUUUUCAUUUACCUCUAAGAGUUUUUUUUAUUUCAUCCUUGAUUUUUUCUAUUAUCCAUUCAUCAUUGAAUAGUGUAUUAUUUAGUCUCCAUUUGUUAGAGUAGCUUCUAUUUUUUUUUUAUUUUGUCAUUGAUUUCCAAUUUUAUUCAAUUUUGAUCUGAUAGAAUGCAGGGUAUUAUCUUUGUUUUUUUGUAUUUACUAAGAGUUGCUUUGUGGCCUAAGAUAUGGUGUAUUUUAGAGAAGGAGCCAUGUGCUGCUGAGAAGAAAGUACUUUGUUUGUUGAUGGAUGAAAUAUUCCAUAUAUGUCUAUUAAGUCUAAAUUAUUGAUUAUAUUAUUUAUUCUAUAGUUUCUUUAUUUAGUUUUUGUUUGAAAUAUCUGUCUAGUAGUGAGAGGUGUGUUACAGUCACCCAGGAUUAUUAUGUUGUGGUCUAUUUGAUUCUUGAAAUUGAGAAGAGUUUGUUUGAUGUACAUAAAUGCUCCAUUGUUUGGGGCAUAAGUAUUUACAAUUUUUAUGUCUUGCUAAUAUAUAUUUACCUUAAGAAGUAUGAAAUGUCCUUCUUUCUCUCUUCUGAUAACUUUGGCUUGAAGUCUACUUUAUCUGAAAUGAGGAUGGGACUACCUGCUUGUUUAUGCAAUUCAUAUGAAUGAUAUGUUUUUUCCCAUCCUUUCACCUUCAGCCUGUGGAUGUCUUUGUCCAUGAGUUAAGUCUCUUGAAGACAGUAUAUUGUUGGGUCUUGCUUUUUAAUCCAAUCUGCCAGUCUGUGUCUUUUGAUUGAUGAGUUUAGGCUAUUAACAUUCAAGGUUGUUAUUGAGAUACGAUUUGUAUUCCCUGUCAUUUUGACUUAUCUCUGGUUUUUAAUUUGACACAGUUUCUCCUUUAGUUGAAUAUUCCUUUAGUGUGGAAAUGGCAUGGUAUUGGCACCAAAAUAGACAUGUAUAUCAAUGACACAGAAUAGAGGACACAGAGAAAAAUACAAAUACAAUUAUCUCAUACUAGACAAAGGUGCCAAAACAUUCACUGGAGAAAAGAUAGCCUAUUCAACAAAUGGUGCUGGGAAAACUGAAAAUCCAUAUGUAGCAAAAUGAAAUUAAACUUCUAUGUCUCACCCUGCACAAAAAUUUACUCAAAGUGGAUCAAAGACUUAGGCACUAGAACAGAGACCCAUGCCUAAUAGAAGAAAAAGUAGGCCCAAAUUCUCACCAUGUCAGCCUAGGAUCUGACUUUCUUAACAAGAUCGCUAAAGUGCAAGAAGUAAAAUCAGAAUAAAUAAACUGAAUGGAUUCAAAUUAAAAAGCUUCUUCUCAUCAAAAGAAACAAUCAAUAAUGUGAGGAGAGGGCCUACAGAUUGGGAGAAAAUCUUUGCCACAUGUACCCCUGAUAAAGCAUUAAUCUGUAGGAUAUAUAAAGAACUCAAAAACAAAAAAAAACCCUAAUAACCCAAAUGAGCUAAGAAACUGAACAGACACUUCACAGAAGAAGUAAUACAAUCAAUCAACAAAUAUAUAAAAAAGUGUUCAAUAUUUCUAGCAAUUAGAGAAAUGCAAAUCAAAACUACACCAAGAUUUCCUCUCACUCCAAUCAUAAUGGCAAUCAUCAAGAAUCCAGGCAACAAUAAAUGUUAGGAUGUAGGGGCAAAGGUACACUCAUACAUUGCUGGUGGGACUCAAAUUGGUGUAACCACUAUGAAAAGCAAUUUGAAUAUUCCUCAGAAAACUCAGAAAAGAACCACCAUCAACCCAGUUAUUCCACUCCUCAGUUUAUACCCAAAGGACUUAAAAGCAACCUACUACAGUGAUACAGCCAUGUCACUGUUUAUCACAAUUCAAUUCACAAUAGUUAAGCUAUGGAACCAACCUAGGUGUCAUUCAAUAGAUGAAUAGAUAAAGAAAAUGUGAUUAUAUAUAUAUAAAAUAUUCAAUGGAAUAUUACUCAGCUUUAAAGAAGAAUGAAAUCAUGGCAUUUGCCAGUAAAUGGAUGGAGUUGGAGUAUAUCAUGCUAAGCGAAAUAAGGCAAUCCCCCCAAAAUUAAAGGCCAAAUGUUUUCUCUAAAAUGUGGAUGUUAAUUCACAAUAAGGGAAGGGGCACUAGAAAAGAAUAGAGUUACCUUAGAUUAGGUAGAGGGAAGUGAAGGGAGGAGAGGGGAUGUGUGGGUAGGAAGGAUAGUAAAACAAAUCAGACAUUAUUACUGAAUGUAUAUAUGUGACUACAUGAUCAAAAUGAUUCUACAACAUGUACACUCAGAAAAAUGAGAAAUUAUAUCCCAUCUAUGUAUGAUAUGUCAAAGUACAUAAAUGUGUUCUACUGUCAUGUAUAACUAAUUAAAACGAGUACAAAAAUUAAAAAUUAAAAAAGAUUAAGGAUUAAAGCGUGCAGUGGAAGGAAAGGAGGUGCAUUCAUCCUCCAACCCCUGAGGAAGAAUCAUCUGUCACUGGGAGACUUCCAGCAGGAGGUGUUGUGCAUGCUGAAUUUAAGGGAACAGCAUCAAAGCCAGGCGGACAAAGAUGGGUGGAAUGGGGAGGGAAGGUCAGGGAUAUGCAAAGAGAUUUAUGGUGCUCAAAAAAGAGGAACUAUCAUGGGCACAAAAAUAAGCAUGGAAUUUAAAAAAAAUUUAGUUUUUGUGCACACCACAAAUAGUUUGGUUUUAUUUAUUUAUUUAUUUAUUUAUUUAUUUAUGACAGCAAAAUGCAUUACAAUUCAUAUUAUGCAUAUAGAGCACAAAUUUUUCAUAUCUCUGGUUGUACACAAAGUAUCUUUAGAUCUUGCAGAAUGAGACUGGAUGGUGGUAAGUGGAACAGCAGAGACAGGCAGGAAAGGCGCCUUUCUUUUAGAACAAGGUUUGAAUGGAUCAUUUGAUGAACAGACAGAGGGAUGCAAGAGACAGAAGAGUGUAAACUGAGUAACUGUUUAGGCUGCAGUUGCCACAAAGCAGGGAAGACAAGAAAUGCUUGAAUACCUAAAUUAGUGAAGUAGCAGAAAGGCUACAGAAGGGGCCACAGACUUAAGAAAUAAUAUGGAGUUAAAAUUAUCAGAAUGUAUACAAGAGUUUAAAGGAGGAAGGUGUAAGAAUUAUUGCUGACAAGUUUCUAGGAGGCCAGGGAGUGGAGACAAGGACCACAGACCAAGAAGGGGAAGACAUGGGAGGGAUCCAAUGAGGUUCAAAAAGGAUAAAUUGCUUGGAGUAAGGUAUGCCUUAGUGACAAAAGGCACAAAGAAUACUCAUCACUUUAGAUCUUUUAGUUUAAAUAUAUCACUUUAAUGUAAAUGCUGAACUACAUUUAGCCUUAACCUGCCUUCCUAUCUGUACUGGAUCUUUUUGCUACAUCCAAGAUUUUCUAUCGUCUCCUAGUCUCCUAUGUAUACAUUAUGCUUAUUUGCAACUCACUUCUUCCUGGUACCUUUUUAGCCCUUCUUCAUCCACCCUGGUUCUACCAUCUACUAUGUGCAGGACCUUCAGAAAGCUGUGAUAUUUUUCCAAACCUUAAACUUCCUUGUGUACAAAGUGGGGAUGAUAAUACCCAUGGAACUAGGUCAUUGGGUAGAUUAAAUGAAAUAAGCACAGGAGACCACAGGAACAUUGGAAAGAAGCUCUCACCCAGACUUGUAGAGAGGAGUGAGGGUGAGGGGAAUGGAGACAUCUUCACACAAGUGGCAGCCCCCACUUCUGUCUACACUCACUCAGACAUAUCUCUUCUUUGGACGUUGGGAAGCUUCUUCACUCUUGCUCCCACAGAUCUCUUCGCCAUUCCACACCUGUGAUGCUCCAACUCUAUUUUCUUCCCUCUUAAAACAAACACUUCACCGGGUGUAGGGGUUAAGGAGGCAGAGGCAGGAUGAUAGUGAGUUCAAAGCCAGCCUCAGCAAUUUAGCAAGGCCCUAAGCCACUCAUUGCCAUAUUGGUCAGGAGGGGUAGGAAAAGGCCCGAGCUAGAAGGGCCUUUUUAAUAUUAUAUUUAGAGACGGGGUCUCUAAAUAUAAUAUUAAAAAGGGCUGAGGAUGUGGCUCAGUGGCUAAGCGCCCCUGGGUUCAAUCCCUGGUAUCAAACCAAAUGAAACAAAACAAAAUAAAACAAAACACUUCAGAGGUUCACACUGCUCUUAGAUGCCCCCUCUUGACCAAUAUGGCACCAUUUUUCUUUCCUUUCAGUAUCUGAAAAGUCAAGAUUCUCUCCUGCUACAGAACUUUUGAAAAGAACAGUUCUCUCUCCCAGAAAAAGCUCAGCCACCUCUGGGCACCUACUCCUCACUUCCCUCUCUAAGUGGAUCUGAUUUUCCCUUCUAUGUGUGGCUCAACUGUCAUUUCUAUUGGGUUCUAUUCACCUCCUUCUUCAUCCCCAUUCCACAAAGUAUUUCUCUUCUGGAACCUCUGUGAGAGUUGCAGUUGAUCUGUGCACCUUUUUGCAUGUGUUUGUGUGACUUUUACUCAGACAGCACAUAUUGUCUUCAUUCCCCAUACAUCUGAUAUGCACAUGACAUAGCACAGGCAUUCAGCAAAUAUUUCUUGAGUAAAUAAAUGAAUAGUUAAAUAAACAAAGGGAUGAAUUCCUGUGAUAAUUCUUAAAAGACAAGUAAGAGAGGGGCAGGCAAAGGAAAUAGGACAGAGUUUUCCAGGCAGUGGGUAAAUAUGCACAUACAGAGGGAUGUAAACUUAUUUGAGUAAAUGCAAAUUGUCUGAAAGGUCAUACUGUGCACAGGAGACUGGUAAUGUGGGCAGGGCCAAACCAUGGAGGACCUUGAGAAUCAUGAAGAUGUGAAGAGCAAGAAAGGAUCAUCUGGAUUGGUUAUGUGUUCUACAAGAAUCACUUUGGGAUCAUGAUGGAGAAGAAUGUGAAGCGGGAGACCAGGAGAUCAGGCAGGGUCUUGGGAGGUAUAACAAGGUGGUAGCAUUUGGGGUUGGACAAAAGAGGUCAGAGUCAGGAGAAUUAAUCUUUUGCCCUCAUCACAGCUCAUAUUGAAAUAAAAUGUUCUUUCACAGGACAUGGUUCUGGGCUUGUACUUCACAAAUGCCCUAUCUCCUACAUGUAUCCAGGUCCAGGUUGUUAGUAUUGUGUCUCUAUGGUCCCAAAUAAAAGAAAAAAUGGAAUGGAAGUGCCUCUAGAAUAUGGUGGAAGAUGGGAAAGUUGUCAUUCAAUGACAUAAAAAGCUGCAUAUUCAUUGGGAAAGCUGAGCUUCAUCUUAUCUUUUAGAAUAAGGUGUGCUACUUUUGUUCCAUGACAAAUUAACAACAUGUGAACAGGUGGUAUGAAUGAAUAAUCGAUGUAUAAAUAAAUUAUAGUAGCACGCUUCUGGAUGACAUUUUGGCAACAAUUUACCUUCACUGUUAGCUCUUUCAGGGCCAGCUGUCUGGGUGCAUGACCUGUGCAGUCGCACAGGACUAGGCACUCAGAAGGGCCCCAGGUUUGGCAUGCUCCUGCCUUGUUGCCAUUUUUAAAUUCUAAAUAAUUUAAUCUUUAAACUCUGUUUUACAGAUGGAAGCCCUAUGGGACAAGGGAAGAUGCAUAGAAUAGAGGAGGUGAGCCUGAUACAUGUGACUAUUGCCCUCUCUCCAUAUCAUUUGCAACUCAUGUUUGCCAUGUUCCAUGAGCACAGAAUUCCAGGGGAACCAGGAUGCACAGGAGCUCAGAGAGACUGAAAGCAAGUACAGGUGAGAAUGUUAUGGCUACACCUGACUAAACAGACACUGACAGUCCUGAGAGACCAUGCUUUCCAUUUGAACCAGAACUUGCUUCCAAUGCAACAUGAAGGCAACGGUGUAAGAAACACAAUCAACCAAAGAACCUGAGCAUAUCAGUUUCUAUUCAUGUUCCUUUCCUGGAUUAACCAAACACUCAUGCUGAAAACAAUGACCUAGAAGGCAAGGAAAAGAUAGGACAGUCCACGGUUCCUUCCUUUUAGCCCUUCCUUAUUUAUCGAUAAGGUGACAGUAGAAAACCCCUGUGGAAUGUGUAUGUAUAUCUAGAAGUGGAUUAAAAACAGGUGAGUUAGUUGUACAGAGUGUCCUUCUGGUAGGAAAGGAAUAAACAUUCAGGUGCAACUACUAAAUACAAAUUGUAUGAUUUCAGUGGUUCUACAUAUGCAUUAAAUACUCUUAUAUUCAUGUCUAAAUAUGACAUUGUGCAAUAUAAAGACAAAUGAUAAAAUAUAUGUUAAUAUUUAAAAUUUAAUUUUUCUUCCCUUUAAAUGACAACAAAUAACAAAUUUAAAAAAUACCAUGACUUGAGAUAAAGACUAAAGAAGAAAGGAAAGCUAUUUAUUUAUUAUUUAUUUUACCCUGCCUUUUUUUUUAACCCUGCUUUUUGAACAGAGGGUCCUGUAUUCACAUUGUGCAAGAAAUCUGCCAAUUAAUGAAGCCAGCCCUAUUGAAAGGGAAUCAUUACCAGAUACCAAAGCACAGGCAACACUAUCACCAAUCCUGUUGGUAAGCAGUUACAAAACAACUGAGCAAAUUCUACUAUUUUUUAAAGACUGGUUUGUCUAUAUAAACUAUCGUGAUGUUUGCUCCUGGAUUUAUACUCUUCUGUAAAUUUAUCUUGAUUAUAAUGUAAGAGGAUUCUAAUAAAAUGUUCUCUAUUUAUACAUUGCAGCACUUUUCCCAAAUCAGAUGCUCAGGUAUAAUACAAGUGACAGAAAUAGUCAAACUGGAUCUUCAAACCACAAACAUCAAGCUAUCUGAAAACUUUUGAACUUCAUCUGGUCCAAGCACCUGAAAACACUUCAAUUAUAGGCUCCAACUGAGCUUUGGAUUUCUAGGUCAAUAGAAUUUCUGUUCAAAAAGAUUAAACAAAUUAAUAUUAGUAUGAAUUUUAUGCAAUUCUAAAAUAAGAAAAAAUUAAAACACCCAUACAUCCUUUAUUCUCAAUACAACUUUUAUAGAAAAGGAAAUAAAUCUAAUAGUUCUGAAACUUUGAGAGCUUUCUGUGUUUCCCAAGCAAAUGUGUUUGGGCUGCUACUCUUAUAUCCUUAUGUUGUCUCUUGGAUUCAUUUUUUACUAAUUCCUAUAAGACUCUGAAUAUAGUAAUGUGGUAGAUACCUUAAGCCAUCUCCUUGCCUUGAAGCUAAAAGAUUGUUCAGAGUUACUCUAAUAUUUCUUUUUAAAAAAAAUUUUAAUUGAUUUUUUAAAAAAUAAAUGAUAGCAGAAUACAAUACAAUUCCUAUUACACAUAUACAGCACAAUAUUUCAUAUCUCUGGUUGUAAUAUAAAGUAUGUUCAUACCAAUUCGAGGCUUCAUACAUGUACUUUGAAUAAUGAUGUCUAAGAAGUAUAGAUAGUAUUAAUACCAAACAAUAUAGUCCUUCACUGCUCUUUCUAGAAAUGUCUUGUGUUACUAGAAAUUAAGUGGGCCCAGUUGGUGCCAUAACACUUAGGCAUAAUUCUCCCACAGGGCAGUGGGGGGGGGGCGUGUAAUUUUAAGGAAAAUGCCCCAGCCAUUGAUUGUCUGUACCUGUACCUUCUUUUCCAGGGAAAGAUAUUCAUUCUGUGACUAAUAAUUACCAUAAGGCUUGAUAUAUAAAUUACCAAAGGAGAGAUGGCCCAUUGCUUCUAAUUCACAAUAAGGGGGAAAAUCUCUUAAAAUUGGGUUUUGUGGUAGGAAAUACAACAGAGAGGGACAACCAAUAACUGCAUAUGAAAGUGGAUACACUGGUGUUUCCCAUUUUGCAUCUUGUCCAUCACUGGGUCUUUGCCUUCCCUGAUUACAUGUUCUACACCACAGUGAUUUGAGGCAACGCAGUCCUCCUCACUUUAAUCAUGAGUUUAAUGAGAGAAAAAAAAAAACAGUUCCCCAAAAUAUAAUCUAUGUUGCAGACUCCACCCCAGCUAAUAUACACAGUUGUAGGUAUCUAAUUGUGAUCUGUUUGCAAUGGUCAGGAACAGGAGUUGUGUUCUGUGAAAGUGGCAACCAACUCCAGAUCAGAUGAGCUCCCCUGACAGCCCCAGACGGAACAUCAGAGCAAGCCGAGGUGACUUCUGUGUGACAGUGACCAGGGAAGCAUCUGCCAGAGGGGUCAGGUCCCUGCAUUGUGUGCUCAUUUUCUAUUCAAUUGUUAAACCAGUUGUUUCAUUUUCUUUCUUAGAAAAUGUGACCCAUUAUCCAAACUAUAUUCAGAUUGAACAGCACAGAAUUGAGCAUCAAAAAUAUCUGGGUUUGGGACUUUUUUCUUUGUGAUUCCUCACAAAGGAAGGAAAGGCACUGCUAACCAUUUCUUUUACUUGGCAGCCACUCACCUCAUAGUUUUUUCUGAAUGGUCAUCUCAUAGGACACAGUGAUAGAUGCAUUUUUGACAUUAUCUUUCAUUCUCAAAAUAAUACUCCAUGAGAUGAAGAUAUGAGUGUAACUUAUGAACAAGACAGUGUAGUGUACAAUAUAGUCCUUCACUGAUCUUUCUAGAAAUGUCUUUCAUUGAUGUGUACUAUUCCAUGCUGUGAAUCUAUCACAGUUUAUUCAUUUCCCUGCUUAAGGACAUUUGUAUUGUUUUAAGUUGGCACUAUCACAAAUAAUGCUGUCAUGAACAUUUUUAACUAUGCCUUUAGGUACACAUAUGUCCAUUUUUCCUUGGAAUAUACAACUGGGGAAAGAACUGCUGUAUCAGAAUCCCUGCUGAUACUCAAUUUUAGAAGACAAUGCCAAUAUUUUCCAAAUAGAAAGUACUAACAUGUGCUUCACCAAAUUUAUAUUUCCUCUGGCAAUGUCUUUUAUACAUUUCUUAUACUGCUUUUAUUAGCUAGAGUUGCACAUAAGAACUUCACAAAACAUGCAAAACCUGGGGAGGAAUGUUCCAGGUUGAAACAGCAAAGAGAAAGGCCCUGAGGCAUUAUAUGAAUGCCUUGCAUUGACUAUUUACUAAGCUGGUAUUGAGUUUGUGUUUACAUAUACACAUACACAUCUAGACAGAUCAAUAGCCAGAAAUAAUAUUAGUUAAAUAUUUUUCCUUGCCAAUUUGAUGCCAGGUACUAUAUUAGGCAAAACCCCUAUAAAGUAGAUAUGAUUCAAAUUUAUUUAGAUUAAGAAACUUACAUUUAAUGGGACUGACGAUAAUUAAUAGCAAAGUAGACACUGAACCCAAGAUUAUCUGGCUCCAAAGACUGUGCUGUUCAUCAAUAUGCCACAUCAAUAUUGACUGUUUUUAAAGUCAAGGGAGGAGUUGAUGAAUUCACAAAUGGUAUUUGAAACAGAUUUUAUUAACUCCUAGAUGAUAUUAAGCAGAAGUAAACAUGUUCCAGAGUUCUUUCAUUUUUCCAAUAUCUGUGUAGAACAUCCUAGGCAGGAUGGUUGAUGUGUCAUUAAAAAGAGGGAACAUUCCAGGGAGUGGAGUACAUGACAAAUUGUUUGUGAAUACUCUUCAUUUACUGGUAGCUACUGAAGUUGCAUUCCAAUGGAGCUAAAAACAGUCUUAGGUAAUGAUGGCAACUCAUAUUCAUAAAAUACUUUACAUCACUAAAUCAUUACAGGUCAGAAUGCUGCUAGGUCAUAAAGAGCAUGUGUUUCUUCAUAAUAGUGUCACCUUCCUCUCCUCCUCCUUCGCCUCCUCCUCCUUUGCCUCCUCCUCCUCCUCCUCCUUCCCCUCCUCCUCCUUCUCCUCCUGUUCUUUUUCUCCUUCUUCCUCCUUCUCCUUGAAAGAUGCCACUUUUUCAGAGGGUGUGUAGAAAGGGAAUAUAAAUUUUCUUCGUGCUUGUAAUUUGUUUUAUUUCAUUCUUAAAGAUAAAUGCUAAAUUUUAAUCAGCAUAUCAAAAUUCUAUCCUGAUUUAGCCUGUAAGACUCUUCUUACACUUUAAGGCUGAUGUGUUUUGAUUGGUUGGCUAGUGUGGAAAGGUAUUUGACCUUGUGGCUGAUGUUAUGUUGAUGGUUGUUUUUCAAUAUUUGAUUGGCAUAAAGUGUUACUGGUCCAGGCCCCCUGAUAAAUGGUUCAGGGAUGCUUUCUUGAAAUAAAGAGAAUUCCUUGCUUGGAUGACAUUUCCCUUGAUUCUCUUUUUAAGUUUCUAUUAUUCUAAAACAUAGGUAACAUAAAAAGAAACAUUUAAAAGCUAACUUGACUUGGCAUAUGCAAAGGCCAUUUCUGCAUAUCAUAUAGCUGUGCCUAUGGUGUCAUGUUACACCAAAAGGCAACAUGGGAGUCUGGCUUAGAAAUCUGUAGUUAACAGUCAACCCUUUAGAAAGAACAUCUUUUAGUUAAAUAGAGAAGAGUAAAAUAGAGCAGUAAGAAGAGCUGAAGUAUUUUCUUGCAGCAGCUUAUUUAAUUACAUUGUUUCAUAAACCAAUUCUAUUUUGAACACCCCUUUCUAAAAAUUACUAUUGAGCAGACAAGUUACAGCAUCAUUUGCUGCCUGCUGCUUAGGAUUUACAAGUGAUUGCCAGAUGCAAGUUGUAUAAUUAAUCAGCUUGGAAGUAAAGUGAUAACUUCGCCCUCCCUUUAAAAUCAAAACUAAUGAUAUGUGUUGGUACUAUUUUUGCAACUUGAUACUUUCUAUUUAGCAGCCACAUGCAUCCCAGUUACUGCUCCCAAAGGAGCCACUUCAGCCCUCAGUAUGUGGGCAGCUGAGUCCUGGACAAAUUACACAGGUGAGUUGAGCACCUUAAUGUGCUUCACCUUCAGUCACAGUCACAGACAGGGAAGAACCUUCCCAAGCAUUGUUGGAGAAAGGCAUGCUGUUCUGGAGAAGGGCAGACACUCAGCAGGUGCACAGCCCACUCGUGCAACACCAAGAAUGUGCACACCUCAUGAUGGUGUUCAAGGAACACUCCAAUCUUCCAUAUCUGAAUGGGCAGUUAAUUAUUUUUCAGUGUCUCAGGAUUUCAUUAUAAUUGUAAAAAAGAUGACUUCUGAAACAUGAAAAUGUCCUUCAGUAAAGAAAUAACUGAAGCAGACUAAGCAUUUGAUGGAGAACAAUUAAUUUAGAGUCUGAAAUGUUUUAAAAAUCCCACUAUGAAACUCAGAGGAUGAGCCACCACUGCUGAUUUGGAGGUUGGUAGUUAGGUGACUUUGCCCUCCAUGGGUGUCUUCAACCUGGCAUCUAGUUCCUCUGAGUCACUGUCUAUCUAAUUCCUUAUUCUCCAGUGUAUGACUUCAAUGAAUUUUCUUGAUUUAAAUGCUUAGAGAAAGUUAAAAACACAAAUAAAACAUGGCACCAUUAACAUUUCCCUUAGCUGCUAACACUUCCCUUAGUUUUUUCUUUUAACUUUAUGACAUAUCCUUCAAUAUUACUGUGGCAUGAAGUAAUAGACAAAAGUUGACCCACCUCAAUUUACCAUUGCAUCUUGACUCUACUGGACUCUACUUGACCUGGCGUGAUUAGAAUUAAUAAUUUCUAGUGCCAACCACCAAAUAAAAGAGUGUGUAACAGAAUGUCUGCAAUAGAAUUCAUAGAGGGAGGAAGAGUUGUUUUACCAGCUUUAUCCAGGAGUCUCCCCUGCUCUUUGGUUGACUUUGAACUCUGGCCUCUAGGAAAUCUAUUUUGGCAGAAAUUUAGAAUGGAGUUAAUGGCAGUCUUACCAUUAACUAAGAGUUCAGUAUAUUAUGAAGUCUUGAAAUACACUAAGAAGAUUCACAUUGAUGGUUACUUUCUAAAAGUGGCGCCCAUACCCUUGAAAUAUAUUAAUUGUGUUGAGUUAAUGAAAAUCAUGUUGCAGAUUUCAACGUUUACUUGUUUUUUUAAAUCUAUCUCUAUCUAAAAUAUUUGUCCAAUGCACGUGUCUUGAUUUAAAGAGUCUGGUAUAGACUCUGAGAAUGACUCUGAUCUGCAAAUAGGUUACACCCAAAGCAGCUGUAAGCUGUGACUGUGCCUGUCUGCUUCAGUCUCCUAAAGUUAAAUAUGUGUGGGUGUGGCUGUGGGUGUGUACGCAAAUAAAAUGACCAAAAGGAUUUCAGUUUAACAUUUAAAUGUUUCACAGAUUAUCUCUGGGUAGCACUCUAUGGGUGUAUUUUACUCACCAUUUAUCUCUAGCACCUACCAUUCUUAUCAUUCUGCAUUGCAGAAACAGGUGACAGUGAAUAUAUUUUGAGGUCCUUGCUGCUGAGUUGCAUUCUGUAUGCAUUUUGUACUUUCUAAAUUUUUUUUAAAAAUAAACAUCCAUUAACAAUAAUGAAA
RNAcentral lists this long non-coding RNA (86748 nucleotides) under Marmota monax (woodchuck). The record is from RNAcentral. Lineage: Eukaryota; Metazoa; Chordata; Mammalia; Rodentia; Sciuridae.